RNAcentral lists this long non-coding RNA (58864 nucleotides) under Musa acuminata (dwarf banana). Its description in RNAcentral is "long non-coding RNA (MACU_LNC006245)". The record is from RNAcentral. Lineage: Eukaryota; Viridiplantae; Streptophyta; Magnoliopsida; Zingiberales; Musaceae.
GAUGAUUAAACAAAAUACCUCAAACUAAUAUUUUGCACGGUGUACUUUGACAGAAUAAAUGAGAAAUGUCUGACCAACUUUUAUAUUAAAAAUGGAAAAAGGCAGUUGAUGUAGCUACAAACAAACAAAUAGUGAUGCAAACAAAAUAGGAGGACAGAAAGAUGAUGACCGCAGAUGAGAUAAAAUCACAAACGACUCCGAACAAACAAGAGGAAAAAUUGACGGCCAUGGAAUAGAUGACUCACGAUCCGCACAUCGGUGUCGUCGAGCAAACGGCCGGGAUGGAGGAGCCCAUGGCGAGGAUGAGCUCGAUCCGCAGGUGGGAGGUGGAAGAAGAGGAGCCGGGGAGAGCCACCUCGAUCGUCGACAGGAGCUCGUAAGGCGAGACCAUAGCUUCCUUCUUCUGGGGUUCCGUCGUCGAAAACCCUCACAAGAAAGAGGGGCAGGAAGAGGAGUAGGAGGAAACACUUCUUGGGAGCGGGGCGGUCGAAGGGGGCGAUUUGAAACCCAUGGACUCGACACGCAUGGCGUGCAUGCGCUCGAUCCGCUGGGUCGAGGUGGAAGAAGAGGGAGCGGGGUGAGCCGCCUCGAUCAGCGAUGCGAGCUCGUGCGGAGACACCACCUAUUCCUUCUUCUCGGGUUCCUUCGGAAACCCUCACAAGUAAGAGGAGCAGGAGGAGGAACAGGAGGAAACUCUUCUUUGAUUCUUGAAGGGCGAGGCGGUCGAAGGGAGCGAUUCGAAACUCAGGGACCCGACGGCCGGGAUGGAUGAGCCCAUGGAGUGCAUGACCUGUAACAAGAAAAAGGGGCCGGGGAGAGCCGCCUCGAUGGUCGACGGGAUCUCGUGCGGAGAGACCACCGCUUCCUUCCUUCUAGCAACGAGAAAAGAGGGGGAGCAGGAGGCAGAGGAAACCGCUAUUGGCUUCUCCUGAUUUGAACCGGGCCGUGGUAUUGGGCGACCGCCUUUAAAAGGCUGGCCGAGUUGUGUUUCAAGAAACAGUUUUAUGUUUUAAAAAAAAACUGUUUCUUGAAACAGAACUCGGCCAGCUUUUUCCAAGAGUCCACAAAAAAUGAUUUCCCAAAAGCAAUAGCGUUUUCUUCCCUGUUUCCCAAAAUGAUUUCCGCGGUGGCGCCGACGAGAGUUGUCGAAUACAUAAUUUAGUAUAUUGGAAAUCUGAGGGAGAAGUAAAUAUCUGAUAACAUUUGGAAGAAAUAUUAUUAGAUUAACAGCUAAUUAAGUUCCUCUCUACCAUCCAUUGUGGGAGCUUAGCUUGCGUGUGUGCCACAAGCAAGGCAAUAAGAAAAGUUCUUCCUCGGAGAAGACCAUCCGUCACUUGCCCAUCACCCAGAUAGAUGCCUUAUUCCUGUCAGUCUCGUUAUGGUUCGUGGAUGUGAGCCACACAAACUGUUGUUCCCCAUCACCCAUGGCCUCGUUGAGCAUCCUUGCCUGUCUCCUCUGCUGGCUCUUUGCCUCCUCAGUUCUGCUGGUUAUAUAAGGUCAGCCUCUCUUCGGGGGUGGAGGAGGCGACGGAGAAGGUACGGGACGAGGGCGCAGGAAUAAGCAGCGUUUCCAUGGCCGGCAAUGGCGCCUUCCACGCUGCAGUCUGUAACGCGCCGGCCAACGAUAACCUGUUCUCCGAUGGCGGUGUCUUCUACGGUGAUGACCCCUUCGGACACGUCAUGCCCCUCUUCAUGUUGCACAUCGUCGUCAUCGUCUUCACCUCUCGUGCCGUCUACUUCCUUCUCCGCCCUCUCAAGCAGCCUCGUCUCGUCUGCGACAUCAUCGUAAUGCUUUUCUCUAAUUCUUUUCUGUCUGCUUGUUCGUGCGUGUUUGACUUAUGUCGUUGUUACGUAGGGCGGCGUCCUUUUGGGACCGACCCUGCCGAGCCUCCUUUCUCGGCUUCUUAGCUUCUUCCACCAUGUGUUCGACGUGGAAGGGGCGCCGGAUUACAGCCACAUAAAACAGCGGUACAUGGACGCUAUGUUUCGGGCGGACAAUGUAUCCUUGAUGCGUUCUGUGGCCUCCUACGGAUUCAUGCUUCAGCUCUUCUUGAUCUCCGUCAAGACAGACCCCAGCAACAUUUGGCGGUGCGGGAAGAAGGCCUUCGCCAUCGGCGUCUCGUGCAUGGUCAUGCCCUUCGCCGUCCUCAACUUGCUUUCCUGGUUCUUCGAGGUCCGAUACGUUCCUGACGACGGCGGCCGAACCGUCGCCGCUGUGGCAGGCGUCGGGGACCCGAACGCCCUCGUCACCAUCGCUUCGUUGGUGAGCGACACCAUGUUCCCCGUGGUCGCGGAGAUCCUCGCGGAGCUCCGGCUGCUCAACACCGAACUCGGCCGCCUCGCUUUGUCGGUGUCCAUGAUCAUCGAUUACGGGUGGUCUUUGACCAUCACGAUCGCCAACGUGGUGAUGCGAACCAUGUACGACCAGGCGCCGCCAUUGGUGUACUCGGCGCUGGGCAUCGUCGCCAUGAUCGUCUUCCUCCUGUUUGUGUUCCGGCCGUGGGUGCGAUGGAUCGUGCGGCGGACCCCGAAGGACGGCCGCAUCGCGGAGGGGCAAGUCCUGAUGGUCCUGCUGGUUGUAAUGGCCAUGGGUGCCGUCAGUGAGACCUUCGGAGCGAGGGUCACGGACGGGCCGAUCAUCAUGGGGCUCCUCGUGCCCACUGCGUCCCCGCUCGCGGUGGCCAUCGCCGAGAAGGUGGAAGUGAUCGCCACGGGGCUGAUGCUGCCGCUGGCGUUCUUGAAUGCAGGGAUGCUGACAGACUUCUCCACGGUCGAACACCCCAAGGUGUUCCUGGGCCUACAGCUGUUCAUGUUGGCCGGGUACGUGAUCAAGUUCUUCGCGGCCAUGGCGCCCGCCGUCUACUACAACAUGCCAGUUAGGAAGGCUGCUCUGUUGGGGCUGAUGCUGAACUUUACCGGCCUAAUGCAACUUCUAAUCUACGUCGAGUCCUUGUAUUCACAGGUACCAAACACUUGCCAAUCAAAAUUAGCAGAUAAGGUGAGACAUUGAGCUAAUCUUAGUCUCCUCCAAAUCCUACAGAUGAUUCAGCCAGAGGCAUACGCGGCUAUCAUCGUCAUCAUAGUUGCUGUCACGGCCGUAUGUUCAUACCUGGUGGCCAAACUCUACGAUCCCCUGAAAUCGAACAAAAAGGUGGCAUAUCGGAAAUUGAAGCAUCUCGACUAGGCCGCCGAUUCCCUCCUCGCUGUUACAAUGAGAUUCUAAAUGAUUCCUGAUAUUGUAUCUGCAGAUUCAUAGAGUAGCUAUAUACUUACGCGUGUUAAGACUGGGAAAUAUAUUGUACGAUUUUUUGAUAAUAGAUUUGAAUUAUUCACUCCAAUGUCAUGCGUGCAAGUAUAUAUAUAUAUAACACGUCACACCCCGAAACAAUCUCGGGUGGGGCCCCGUCUCUGAUCGCGUGCACGUGAUUGGAUGCGGAUAAAACAUGGGCCCCACAUAACUGGUUAUGUUGGGUUCCGUCGUUUUCUUUAAUGACAAGGAGGGUAUGAUAUCGUGUAGCGGUCGAUGGGUGGAAAAGUGACGGUGAUCUUUAUGGCCGCCUCCGGUAUUUUCUCUCACUUUCUUGUUGUGGACACCUCCCAAUUCCUGAACGACCGCUGGGACGGUAAGCGCACCUUCCCGUCGUGCCUUGAUUACUCGUGACUUAACUCACGAGAGAAUGAGCUGGCGCAUGUCGGUAGCCGUACCACCCGGUCCUGCUUGACAUCGGUCACAUCCAUGGCUCGCGUCCCACGCCGUCUGUCACGUCGCCACAUACGACCAGUUCUCGUGUCACCAACCCCAAAGUCAAGUGACAUCUAUUAGUCGAAUCACCCCCGCUCGCCCAACUCCACACGUAAUCCCAACACCGUUGCCGGCUCCUCCGCCCUCUCCUUCUCGCCAAUGUAACGGAUUCGGGUCUCCGUUCAGCGGUGAGGAAGGAGGCAGUGGAGGACCGAGGGACCACUUCGGCUCCGAUCCAACCCCCUCGCCACCCUCCCCCUGUCACCGGGCCAUGGAGACGAAGCCGCCACCUCCUCCGCUUCCACCACCGCAGCUACAGCGACGGGGAAAGUGGGUGGUGCCCCUGCUCGCAUCUUUCUUUCUCUCGUCCCUCUUCAUCUCCGCCUCCAUCUUCUCCUCGUCCUCGUCCUUCUCCUCCUCCGCUGCCGCCUCCUUGUCCCGCCAGGCCCUCCUCCUCCUCUCGUUCUCCCAGAUCCCGACCCCUAUCGGCGACGAUCCCCUUUUCGUGGAGUCGAAGCUCCGCAGCCGGCCGCUGUCCGCCGCUGCCCCUGCUCGGCCGGUCCCCCGUCUCGCUUACCUAAUCUCCGGCUCGGCCGGUGACGGCGCCAGCCUCCGGCGGACCCUUCGGGCGCUCUACCACCCGGCCAACCAGUACGUGCUCCACCUCGAUCUCGAGGCCUCCGCGGCGGAGCGCCUCGAGCUAACCGCCAUCGUCCGGGAAGACCCGGUCUAUACCCGCUUUCGCAACGUUAGGGUCGUCUCCCGCGCCAACCUGGUCACCUACCGUGGUCCGACCAUGGUCUCCAACACUCUCCACGCCGCCGCCAUCCUCCUCAAAGAGGCCGGCGACUGGGACUGGUUUAUCAACCUCAGCGCCUCCGAUUACCCUCUCGUCACCCAAGACGGUAUGAUUCGUUGCCCAAUUAUUUGGUGUGGGCAUUAGCGAUAGGUGUCUCCUAAUUUGGCGCUACACAUUUGUUCCUGAAAUUUGAUCUUGUUCUGCUUGCUUUCCGGGCUUUAAUUGGAAUUCUUAAUGGGCAUUUUCUCCAAAUUCGUUCAUCAUCGUGUGUUGGUUAGGCAUUGCUCAAGACAUUUACUUGCUGUCUUUGUUUCUUCACAUUCCUCUGAGAGAUGCUAUCUCGGUGUAGCACUCAUCUGCAUGUUUACACAAGUUGUAUUUACAAUUAGAUCUCUGGAUGGCUCUCAUUUUGUUACAUAAGCCUUGCCUGGAUUUUGUAUGCAGAUCCUUGUGAGAACCAAGCUCGCCCCUGUUCCAUAUGCUUCUAAUUAUUUAUAGAAUAUAUAAAUCAAGUGCUACGUUUGGCUCUAUAUAGAUAAGCUUUCUUUGCUUCUAAUGUAGUUCUUCAUAAAUUAGGAAACACUUUUAGUUCAUGGAAGUUAUCUUUGUAACUAUUAAUUUUUUGUACCAUUCAAUUCUGAUAGCAUGAAGUAACAGUUCUUUUGUUUGGCAGAUCUAUUGUACACACUAUCAAGUUUUCCGAGGGACUUGAACUUUAUAGAGCACACUAGCGACAUUGGAUGGAAGGAGUACGUAAGACAUGUUAAUUCUUAGAUUGGGAUCUUUGUGUGGUACUUCUAUUUAGAUGUUCUUUUCUGAAAAAAAGUUGGUUUCAGUAAUUCAUUCUUGAGAAGUCAUUGUAUGGUCUGUGGUGCAGGUAUCACAGGGCUAAGCCUGUUAUUAUAGACCCUGGGCUUUAUAGCUCGCAAAAAACAGAUGUGUUUUGGGUUUCUGAGAAAAGGAGUGUACCCACUGCAUUCAAGCUCUUCACAGGUACAAAAUCUAAUUCUAACCCAAUAGUUCAUGUGUAUAAGAUUGCUCAUGGUAAUAUCUCUCUUGCAUACCCUUGUGCAAAUCCUGCAUUUCGCAGUAGGUUGCAUGUAUGUUGGAGAUUGUUUAAACAAUCCUGUAUGGUGGGAAACUGUCAACUGUCUGCUUAAACUUGGAAUUAUGACAGUUAUUUAAUUGGCCAUUUACUGUCAUGGGCUGUUGCAGCUAGAAAGUUGUGGCAGAUUGAUCCUUCUGCUGCCAUGAUACAGAGAUUGGCAAUUUGUUACCAUCUGCUUUAUGCUACAGAUGAUUGAACAGUGCACAUAAUAUUUGUUGGUCUAUUCAUAUCUGUGUGAAUCAAUAUUUGUACACAAAUGGCACCUAAUAUGAUUAACAACUUUUUGUGCAGAAGUUGUAUGACAGGUCUGGCUUUUGGUUUGAAUAAUACAAUUACAAGAUUUGUCAGCAUACAGAUAUGCAUAUGAUAUGGUUAAAUGCAUAUGAGUUGCAUACAUAUUGCAUGGAUAUACAUAUGAGUUGCAUUUCAGUAUCCCAAUAAUCCGGAUUUAAAAAUUUUACCAAGUAUUUGAUCUAAAGCAAGAGAAGUUAUUUGCUAGUUUUUAAAGUGUUUGUAUAUUCUUUUUCUCCUUAGGUUUACCAAAGGUGAGGGAAAGUUUCAAGGAUUAGGAUCAGGAUUGAUACUAGAGUCUAGGAUCAUAAUUUAAAUGGGCUACAGUAUGGUUUUCGAGGUCAAGAGGAAUUAGCAUGGGUUAUGAUAGAACCAUCUACAACUACCUAGAAUUGGUAGGGACUUCUGAACUACUUUUGGAUUGUUUGGCUCCAGCUGAAUGAUUUCAUUUUUUUUGGGAAUUCUAAAUUGAUCCAGCGGAUCUGGAUUAAGAUUGGUGAAUCCUUUAAAACAAGGGUAGGACCUAGGUGCUUUAUUAAAGAAAUCCUGGGGCUCAAAGGUGUACGCGGCCACUGCAAACAAUACAGAGGUUGCUGAAAGAGGUAUUUGGAAACCAUCUGGGUUCAAUUUCUAUGAUUAUCUGACCUAUUAGUUCAUAAAAUUACCUUAUGAUGCAGUGAAAAGCUAAAUUGUUUGCCUUUAAUCUCAUCAAGGUAAAUAUGUGGUAAAAAUUAGAAAACUGGUCGAGGUUGAAGAAGAGCUUACUGUAGGACAGAAGUGUAAUAAGCUACUCUCAUUUCUAGUUAUGGAUAUUUUAUCAUCUUUGGAGAAAAUGGGGUUGGUUCACGGGAUCUGCCCUUGUUCAUGAUGCUCUGAAUAUGAGAGAGGAGGGAGAGAAGAACAAGAGAUGAAGAGAGAAGGGUGAUAUAGGUGCAUGUCAAAGCCUUUGAUUUACAUUCACCUUGUGUUUGGCUUCACAAUUUCCCCUUUGGGCCAUGAUUUCUGAGUGUAAUUUUCUUCAAUAGGCUAUCAUUUGGCUGCUUUCUCAAAUGAUGCAUAGAACAGAUCGUUUUUAGUUUAUUUAUUUCUCCAGGACAAAUUAUGUACCAACUUGUUACAGGAAUAACUUGGAUAACAGUGGACUCUUGUGUCUGCUCUCUUUAUAAUUCUUUGUUUGAACCUAACUAUGUAGAUUUCAUGCUGCUUGUCAUUAGAAAUUAUUUUUUGCUUUUGCCAUUUACAUGUGGUGCUGCACAUGCUUCCAUUAGCAGGAGAAUGAUUUGAUUCUCCAAGAUUUCCCCACAUCAUAAUAUAUUGUGUGACAAGUCUCAUAAUCAGAAUUUGCAUAGGGGUUUCACAAAUUCUCAUAGCUGUGAGCAAUAUUUUUCAUUUGUACAAGCUACAGAAAGUGUGAAAAAUUACGGAGCAAAUUAAACCUCCAGUUUAACCCAAAUGUUGAAACCUCAUAUUUUAGCAUCAAACGAUGCUAAAUCUAUCUACAUGUUCAUCAUACAUGUGGCUAGCCUAUUCUCAUCUCGCCUUUGUUAUCAUAAUUAUCACACUAAUUAUCCCAUGUCUUGUAGGUCAUCAGUAAUAUUGAAUAUCAUGUUCUGGGUGCAUAGAAAUUUUAUAUCAAAGAUGGAUGAUAUACACAAAAGGAGAAAUGUUUCUCAUAUGUUUACAAAAUAUGAUUUAAAUGGAACCAUGAUCUCUAAGAUAUUUGCAAUUUAUUGAAUUCUGGUUAUCUUCCUUUCUCCCUUCUUUUCACUUCUACUUGCUUUGGUACAUUGCAAUCUUUUGUUAAUCUAUUAACUUAGCUAUUCUGUGAUGCUCAAAAUCCAGCUCCUCUCAUUGUUAAAAAAUAAGUAGAUUUUGCCAAUAUACAAUUGCUACUUAUUUGAUGGCCUAAAGAAGUUGAACAUGCCAUUUAACACAUUGGAUGGUUUUUAUAUUCAUAUAACUCGUGAAACUAUACUAUGGGAUUAUUGUGCCAGUUAUACCUGUUAUGCAGUGGUGAGGAUCUGAAUAUAGCACAGAAUUCAUUCUUUAUCUUGAUAUGUUGAUUCUUUUAUUAUCACAUAGAAAUGUUUGGUGACGUGUGUGGGUUUUAGCAGUAUGUAAUGAAUGCUUCUUUUUUAUUAUUGUACAAGAUAAAUGUUCAAAUAGCAGAGAACAUGUUGUUGAUUCUAUUGUUAACAUAAUUAUAAAGUAAUAAUUGGAUCAUUAAUGAUUGAUUUCUUGGCAGGCUCUGCUUGGAUGAUGCUUUCUCAUCAGUUCAUCGAGUUCUUGUUAUGGGGGUGGGACAACCUCCCAAGAACAGUUCUGAUGUAUUAUGCAAACUUUCUGUCAUCUCCUGAGGGGUAUUUCCACACUGUAAUCUGCAAUGCGCGUGAGUUCCGCAACACCACAGUCAACCAUGACCUUCACUUCAUAUCUUGGGAUAACCCUCCGAAGCAGCAUCCUCACCUUCUCACACUAAAUGACUUCUCAAGGAUGGUCAGCAGUAAUGCUCCAUUCGCAAGGAAGUUUGGCAGAGAUGAUCCAGUACUCGACAAGAUCGACAAGGAGCUCUUGGGCCGUGAUCCUGAUGGUUUUGUGCCUAGUGCAUGGUAUGACAAUCUGAAGAUGGAUACUGGCAAUAAUCUACCAUUUGCAGUGAGGAAUGUCACUGAGCUGAGGCCUGGGGCAGGUUCCCAGAGGGUCAAAGCCCUAAUAACGGGUCUGCUUUCAGCAGAUGGUUUUGAGAAGAAGCAUUGCAUUUGAUCAUAUGAGUUGUAAAUUUCUUGAGCUAUGAUGCUUUGAGCUGUCUUGAGCCUCGUCAACUCAAAAGCAGUGAAUAGGUGCAGGAGAUCUGUUACUUGCCCGGAAGGUCAUAACCUGGAAAGGGUAGGAAUCUAUGCAAAUAAUGACUUAUUUUGCUUCUCGUUGGUGAUAGAGUUAGUAUGUAAAGCAGCUAAUCUCAAACUCCCUGGCCUUGGUGGAUUACAAUCUGCAUGUGGGCAUCAACUAUCCAUCAAUGCCGAUAUCAGUCACUAAACGCCCUAAUGUAUCAGCAUAUUUCGGCGGCUUCGUUCUGCAGAGAUUCAUUCAAUGACUAAUUUAUGUGCUAUUUGUUUGAUCAUUGAGAGACAUUUCAACAUAUGCCCCAUGGCAUAUUUAUACUCGAGGUAUCUCAUCCUUGCAAAUUGCUAGAGACAGUUAACCAACCUAUUUCAGUAUCAACCCUUUCAGUUGCAUUGUAUUAUAACUGUGAAGCAGUCACUAUGAACUCUCCUGUCUUAAACAAGAAAUUAUUGUGCUGUCUUCCAAAGUAUACUUUAACAAUCACAGUUGGAUCACUUGAUGAUAUAUCUAUCUCACUGAACCAACUUGCAUUUUGUUUGCAGGCCAAACAGAAAAAAAGAGACUACAUUACUGACUGAGAAUACAAAUCAACCUUAAAAUGCACAAAGGAAAACGAACCUCUGUCAGAUAAUAUCAGCCAACUCUUUCUUCGUACUUGCGAAGCAUGUCAUCAGUUUGUUUGCGAGUCACCAAAGAAUGGUUCAGCUCCUAAGCAUCUCAUCGGCGUCGAAAUCAUCAUCAUCAUCAUCAUCAUCAAAGCCAUGCCGUGAUGAGGCCGUACCAAGAGCAGGCUCUUCAGAUCCACAAAGAUCGUACCUUUCCCGGUUCUCCGCUUCGCUGACGCACUGGAAAGGCAUAGAGACUUCCUUGAAGGCCUCCUUACCUUCAACGACAGUUUCCGGUAUGCUCUGCGAACAUCCCCAAUCGUGCUCGAACCCCAGGAUCUCGUGGUAAUCUCUCUGUUCCCUAAUCUGAUGAACGAUUGCCACCUGCUCCUCUGUGUAGGAUCUUGAAGAUUCUAUUCCACCGGUUGCGGAAAGGAGAUCAUCGAGUGGGAGAGAGGGGUCGAGACGGCAGGCCUCGGAGAGGAGUUUGAAGGCACGCGACCGGUCCCCUGUACCUAGGGCUUCCAUUCCCAUCCUAAGACACUUCAAAACGCGAACGGAAAUCGAUUUCGAGUUGUCGCCUCGAGGAAGAACCGAUCUGCUCCUACCUUGGAUCGACAUAUUAGGGUUCGUAUUCGAAGCAGAGAGAGGAAGACGUCCGAUUCAUCGCAGGAAGUGGCCGACCUCAACGGCCAUCAGGAGGCGCGUAAGUCGGCUCAUCUUAGCCGUCCAAACGACGGAGGAACGUUUCGUGAGAUUGGCGGGAACGGGAACGCUACGUAUCCGGAUGCAACAUCCGCCGUUCGAUUAACAAUUGAUCUGCUCUGAUGGAUCAUUUUGCACAGUGUUGUAUAUAAUUAUUGCUGCAACCAUCUUAGAUUAUUUAUAUUCGUUAUCAUUAAUGUCAAAAUAAUCUUAUGGUACUUUCGUUAAGUUUAGAUAGAGCUGUGUUCGACAAUGCUUCCUUCUACGUUUCUGCCAUGCAUUCUGCUGCUGCUUCGCCGAACUGCUUACGUUGACCACCGGAUCAUAUUCUGCAAAGAAAAGAACAGACGCACGGCAGUCAGUGACAAUGAGACGUGAUUUCAUCUCACCGUUUGGCAGAAAGGAGAGAGGAAGAGAGGAUUCGUACUGUGCGUAUUCGACAUUGAUUUUUGUGUUUGGAAUCUUGGAAACAGCGUCGAAGGCUCUGUUCGACAAGACGAGGGUCGAAGGACACGGGCUGACUCUGCAGAAAUCCACCACUUGGACGACGAUGGAGCCGUCCUUGCAUGGCCGCCUGAGGCCGCUGAGGCACCGGAGCUGGUACUUUCUGCCGCAGGCAGCGCCGUUGUCCCACAUGCCAUUGCCUGCUGCCACGAAAAGCCCAUUCUCCGGCAGUUGAUCCUCGGUGUAGCCCGGGCAUUUCGUCGCUGCACCAGUGUAAACCAAGCCAUGAGAGAUGAACAGUGAAGACGAAGAAGAAGAAGAAGAAGGUCUUACGAAGAUAUGGAGGAUCGUAUGACGUAGCUGUGCCUACAUCUGCUGAAACUGUGACGAGAUAAACGUCGCAGAUCAAACCGAAGAGCAUCGCCACUGCCACCCACCGCUCUCUCUCCAUCACCGAGCACGUUUUGCCUUCAGCUGAGUCGCUUGCAGGCUAAAUUUAUACUUGGGAGUGGGCGGCACCUCCAUUGCUCAAACUAAUACUAUCAUCUGUUCUUCCUCAUCCACUGCUGCACACGAUAAGAUUCAAUAGUGGAAAUCGUGUUGGUGGCUGGCUUACCCAAGCUUUCCGUCAUUUCCAUUCCCUAUGGGAUACAUCGUUCCUUUACGGAACUGAGGCUUUAUCUACGGUAUAUACAAAUGAGGUCGACAUGGGGAUGAUUAGCUAAGGAGAUCUAUCCUUUUCUUAUUGAUGGUGCUGUGAUAUGUCAUCAGAAUAAAUAUUUAUCUCAUUAGCUAUAGAUGAGGAUUAUGCCUUUGAUGGAGGAGUCACUCGCAGCUCAAAAUGGAACCGCGGAUUAGCAGCUGGAGAGACUUCGAGCACUAACGUCACAUCCUUUUGGCCGACCGCUCGCCAUUCGUUGAACUCCAUCUUCGGAUCAGCAUGAGCGCGUCACAGUGACAUUUGACGCUGCUUUGCUUUCUCUCUGCCGCUAGUGGAGCUUCUCAGCCUCUUUAUGGCCACUUCGUUUGGGAUAGUUGUAGCAAAGUUUUGAUCGUCUUCGACAGACAUGGCUGCGUUGCUGUAAGUCUUUGUUCUUUACUCAUACAGCAUGUGGGUUUUCUGAGUCUCUUAAUGAUGAUAUGUACCUGUCAUUCAGCUAGAAUUUUCACUAAAUAUAUAAUAUCAAGAUAAUUUAUUUUUCUUUUUAUAUAUACAACCAAAGCACUAUACCAAAUUAUCUACUAAUACGAAAAAUAUUCAUCCAAGUAAGACUUUGACAAGUGAUGGUCAAGAUCUUAUUGAGUAAUACGAACAUUAACCUAAUAUAAAAUGUUAUUUUAAGUUUAACAAAUUAUAAGGAUGGUUACUGUUUUACUCGCCUCCACUCUCUUUUAUCACUAAUUUGGGCGUCGGAGUGAUCAGAAAAUACUCAAUCUUGAUCUUCUUACAUGUAAGCAUUAUAUCAUGUGUUUAAGACCCCCUUAAUCACUUCCGAACACUUCUUACAUACACGGGCUUGAACUAAAUCAAGUUGAUCCGAUCAUUACAAAUAUCACAUAAUUGAAUAUGAUAUUUUUGAAUAAUUUUGAUCUUAGUAAUUUGAUGUAUAAGACCAUGUAAAUUGAAAAUGAAAAGAUAUAUCUAUUAUUAAUUAGGAUUGGUUGUAUAAAAAACGUAUAAACGGCUUGUCGUUUUAUCCCCAACCCAUCAAUUGAAUUAGUGAACGAGUGGGAGUCAGACUAAUUUAGGCGAUCAAAUAGAUAAAAAAAGAUUUAAAUGAUAAUUAACAGUUUUUUAGAGCCUUCUAUUAAUUCUUUUGUGGAGUAUCAUAUUCCUAUAUAUAAUAUUACAUUUCAAGACUUGAAAUUUAAAAAAUAAAAUUAAUUAAAAUCACAAUCUCUUCCUAAAAGCAACCAAAAAUAUUUUGAGUUUACGGGGAAAUAUGCAAUGUGUCAAUUAUUCAAUGACAAGUGCUAAGAACAUAUCCUCCAUUGCGAUGAAUGAGAUAUUAGAUAUGGAUUGGAUCACAAGAAUUCGAGAAUAUUAACAGAUUAUCGAUUAGUGAGUCAGUUCGAUUGGUUCUCUGUUAAAAAUAUAGGUUUUUUCUGAUGACUCAUCCCAACUAAUAUGGAGAGCAAUUUGUUGUGGGUAGGAUAAAAGAAUCUGUAUAGAGAGGCAGUUUGUCAAGAGCUACUUAGUCUUCGAGUAAUGAAGCUAAGUUUGAGAGCUAGGCAAUCCCCUCCUAAUUGCGCCUCCGAGCAACACUGAUAACCCUGCACAAUAUGCUUGUAUAUGAGGUAUCCCGACUCGACCUAUCUAAUGCUUAAAUCAAGAAAACAAAAAGGGAGAACGAUAAUAGUAUCAGCAAUAUAAUCAAGAGAGUAGAGAGUCUUUUUCCUACUUGUCCCAACUUGGUUCGACGCUUGAUUUUUAUACUUGGGCGUUGAGCGACCUGGACUUGCGUUCGCCAAGACCUCCCUUACCAUGUACAAUGAAGGCAUUAAUGAAGAUGGCUUCUUGGUGUGUGUCCCCCCGAUACCUAGGGCAAAUCGUUGGGGGAUGCUCCUAAGUUGACUUUCAUUAUCGCUUUGGAUUAGGUAGAUAGUGGUUCUUUCAUCAAAUAUUGAAAAGGGAAUGCCGUUAGACCAUGUCAUAAGUUAUCAAUACAAAGGUAUAACUUCUGUGUAUUAAUUCGAAAUGGAUCAUAUGGAUCUAUUUCCAAAAGCUAGGCGGUGCGACCCCUAGUCCCCAUACUUUUAUUUUAAGGGUUAUUUUUUUAACCUUGCAAUUAUCUUAUUAGAGAAAAUACUUAGAUUGACAUAUUAAGAUGUCAAUUUUCUUUUUUCUACGUUGUUAAGAAAAUGAUUUAAGAAAUAAUAAUAUAAUUUUUAUUAAAAUCAUAUCAAACUCGUUUACCAUCAUGUCUAAGUGAGAAAGAGAUAAAGAGAGAUUGGAUUUGGUAUGACUACCUAAGAAAAUUCUUCAUAAUUUCAUAUAUUUGACCUAAAAAAUUAUGUUAUAUUAGUUAUUCUCUCAUCUUUAACAACCAAAAAGUUUUCUUACUAUAUAAUCUUAUAAUUUAUAUUUUUAACAUAGCAUAUAAUUAUAUAUAAUCAUUUUUUUUCCAAAAAAUAAACCUAUGAUUCAAUUAAUUGAAUAGCACCGAGUUGCACUAAAAAUACUAUUUUACCCCUUGGAUUGACGACUCUCAGCUGUGGUAUGGGGAUAAUAUGGUCAUAUCAAAAGAUAUUUAGCACGUGCCGUAGAUACUGUCAUAGCACUAUUAUACCCCUAUGCGACCUUUAAUUUAUCGCUGUGAAGGCCGUGAAUUGUACCAUUUGAUUAGGGCAGUUAUGGGAUAAAGCAAGAUAAUUGAUGCUCUUCUUUGCUUGAACCCUUCCAACGGCGGGAUAAAGGAGGGAAAGGGGGGAGAAGCACCGGAUGGAAGGCCGAGGCUGAUCUCUCUCGCCCGUCCCCUCUCGCUUCUGUCGUCCGCUCGCCCGCCCACGGCGAGAUCGACGAUAAGUAGGGGCGGGGAAGGAGAAGGGAGUUGUGGGCUUCGAUUUCUCUCAUUCUGGGUUGAUUCCUUCGCCCGCCGUCCGAUUGCUUCGCGUGGAGCGUUCGGGUGACCGUCGUACGAUUGAGUUUGUUGGAUUCUUCUGUCGAAAUCUGGUUCGAACUCCGCCUUUACCUGAUGAUGACUCAUACGAAUCUUUUUUUGGUUUCGGAUAUUAACCGCGAAAAGGAAGGCAGUGCUUUUCUUGGAUUAUCGUUUGAUUUAUUUUUUGACUUGCAAUUUGGUUCCCGCUUCAUUGUGCCAUGCCAUAGCGCAGAAUUCUGCUUGAGUUCCUCUCCUCGAAAAGACCCAUUUUUUGGCUGCAAUCUUUACAGUUUCCUCUGUCUCUCAUUCUUCCAUCUAAUUCUUGCAUUUUAGGUGUUUCGGCUCUUUUUUUUGUUGUUGCAAUCUUAAUAGUUUCUUCUUCUUUUUUUCUGAUUCUGCUGAAUGAAAGGCUUUUUAUUUCCUGUAUUUUUACUGUCAGAUUUGGUAAAAUGCAGCUACCAUGUUACAUUCUUGCCCUCACAUUUGUCUUCGGAUUUGGUUACCGAAAGUACCUUGCGAACAAAGGGAGAUGGAUAUGGACGCUUUAGUACUGUAAUCGUAAAUCCAAUUGUUGUACUGAGAUUGAAAUGGCUGACAAGAGGUUGCAAGCGGUUGCGGUUGCGGUUGGGAAGAAGAGUGAUGGGUUCCUUCUCCCCUUUCCAGGAUUGGGCUUUUCAUGGAACUCCCAGGAGGGAUUUUACCGCUCUGAUGGCUUGUUUGCGAGUGUUGGGCAGAUGGGAGUUGGCUUCGGGGUUUCUCCGAAUUCUCCUAAGCCUACAAACAACAGCGCAAAGGUGCCGGGAAUUGAUCUCUACGUCAAGUAUGUGUCCCCGGAGGUUGGGUGUCGCGUUCUGGGAGCUGCCACCGCGUCUGCAGUUGAAGCGACUGAUGUCAUAGAGGAAGCAGUGGUUAGAAAGAAUGAGAAGAAGGGUGGGUUGAAAGUGAAGAUUAGGAUAGGAAACCCCCAUUUUAGAAGAUUGGUCAGUGGAGCAAUUGCUGGAGCAGUGUCACGGACCACAGUUGCGCCUUUGGAAACGAUCAGGACGCAUCUUAUGGUAGGAAGCAAUGGGAACUCAACAGCAGAAGUGCUCCAGUCUAUAAUGAAGACGGAGGGGUGGAAAGGGCUCUUCCGUGGCAAUUUUGUCAAUGUCAUCCAUGUUGCACCAAGCAAGGCCAUUGAGGUAUUGAUUGUGUUGAUCUUAUCUCGGAUAUGUUUCUGGUUUAAGAAUCAUGUUCAGCUCUGAGACAUCAUAUGUGUGUUCCUUACUAAUACUUUCUUUCAUAGGAGUUUAUAGCCUUGUGCCGGUUGAUAAAAGUUAUAUGCUGUCAACUUCUUUUUUGUGGUUUAUCUCGUUAUUACUCGAUAAAGAUUUCUGGAAAAAGUUGUGAGAUGUCUUAUGGCAAUUAUUUUUGAAGGUUAAGAAGCAUCUGUUACUUCUCUGUUGGCUUAAUCUCUUGCUCCUUUUCAGUUUGAUUAUGUUGGCCAUAUGCAAUUUCUGCAUUUUCUUACCUUAUGCUGAACAAAAGGAUUUUGUAAAGUUCAUCCAUUGUGCUAGAUUCAUCUAAUUUACAGUUCUAUUGGCUAGGCUCAUGUUCCUUCUCUUUUUUCUUUUAUUUGUCUUAUAUUAGUUUUAGUUAACCUGGAACUCUUAAAAGAAAAACUUUUUGCGGUCCUUAUCCGAAGGAUGCACCUGGAUCUUUUAUCGUACAGAUAUGAUGGAUAGCAUCCUUGUGUGUGUUUUUCUGAAGAGUAGAUAUGUGGCACCUUUUGUUCUUGAUUAAGUCAAAGCAAUGUACUAUUUGAAUUCACUAUGAUGUUUUUAGGUGCUUAUUAUGGACAAGAGAAAAGAAACAAUUGAAUAAUUUGAUCAUACUAUGUUGCAUACAUAUGCAGUCUCUGCUAAUCAUCUUGUGCGUUUCUGAGCUCCUUAUGGUUUAGCAUAGUUAAGUCAAUUAUGAAAUCGACAUUUUGUCCUGGCUUUUUGAUUUUGACAUUUUUGGCAUGGUUUUGUACAUUGUAUAAGAUGCUUAUUUCGGUUCACCUGGUAGUUAUUUGCUUAUGACACAGCUAAGAAGGUUUUGACCCCUAAGGAUGGAGAACUACCCAAACUUCCCAUCCCCUCGUCGAUCGUCGCAGGGGCAUUUGCUGGAGUCAGCUCAACCCUCUGUACAUAUCCUUUGGAACUACUCAAGACUCGACUAACUAUACAGGUUCGCAAAAACCCCUCGAGUGUUUAUCUUGCAUAUACAAUUUUCAUUUUAUUUGUGCCGCUUGUGCAGAGAGACAUGUACGACAAUCUUCUACAUGCUUUCCUGAAGAUCGUACGUGAGGAAGGUCCUUCGGAGCUGUACAGGGGUCUUACUCCAAGUCUCAUAGGAGUCAUGCCGUAUGCUGCCACUAAUUACUUUGCUUAUGAUACCCUAAAGAAACUUUACAGAAAGACAUUCAAGACGGAGGAAAUCGGCAAUGUUGCCACUCUUCUGAUUGGUUCAGCAGCUGGUGCUCUUUCGAGCAGCACCACAUUUCCGCUUGAAGUUGCUCGGAAGCAUAUGCAGGUCGGAGCCGUUGGUGGCAGGAAGGUCUACAAGAACAUGCUUCACGUGCUCUUGAGCAUACUGGAGAAGGAAGGGAUCGGAGGGCUCUACAAAGGGUUGGGGCCGAGUUGCAUGAAGUUGGUGCCUGCUGCUGGGAUCUCAUUCAUGUGCUAUGAGGCUUGCAAGAAGAUCUUAAUCGAUGAGGCAGAGGAGGAUGCAUAAUUCUAUUAUAUUCUCCUAACAACGAUGACGGAACCACGAACUAAGACAUUUUGAAGCUUUCGAGCACUUGAAGUUUUUUCUCAUGUUGUUUAGAUUUUUUUUAGAUUAAAAAUAUUAUAUUUAAUAAUGAUGCAGAAUGUAGCUGAUAAGUCGUCGUUGUCAUCAGUUUAUUAGAAGAGAAAAAUUUUGCCAUCACUGUAGACUUAUUUUCUGUUCCUCAUAAAUAAACUGUAGUUUAGAUAAUACAACUGAACAGUAGUUUCAUUGCUUCUUGUUCUUUGCCUUUCUAUAUCAUUGCUUUUCUAGGAGUCCGGUUUUGUGCUUGAUAUUAUUGGCUGAAGUAAGUUUAAGAGACUGCUUUUGUCCAUUUACCGGUGGAUGGCAAUGACUGUUCAUCUGUGGCAACGAUCAUUGAUCUAUUGUGGUUCUUAAAACAUGAUAAUUCUCAGUUGCAAGUCGCUUAAAAUUUAGUCCCCGACAAAUCUAACCAGCAAGCAUCAAUUGAGACAAAUCUAACCAGCAAGCAUCAAUUGAGACGAAACAAAUGUGUUGCCAUCAACUCGAAGAAAAUGACAUCAAUCAAAUAACCUUGAUCAUAAAUAAUGAGAAAAAACAAAUAUGUUCUUUAAUUCACAGAAAUAACCCGCAAGGUAAAUAACAAUAUUGUUCUGUCAACCCAAGAAAACAAAAACAGUGAUGGGAUUCAUUCGUUCAGGUCUGCUCCUCACCAUCUUCAGCAUCUCUCUCUGUUGCUGCAGCCAUCAACUCGUCGAAGUUUUCCGUCUUCCCCAGCAAUAUCUCAAUCUGUGCAGGAGACUCAAAUCAAGCACAACUAUGAGUCAUCAUAAUUCUAGCAAGUCUUACCUUUGCUUUCUGCAUAGGUCGUCCCCUGGAUUCAUCCUUCACAUCAACCAUAGACGUCAUAAUCUCUGCAGAUUUGUUUUCGAAAAAAAAAUUAACUAUAAAGAGUCUCGACUCUGGUAUUCUUUCCAAAUUGUAAUCUAACAGGUGAAAAUAAGAAUCCAAAAUCUUACUCCUCUCAACAGCGAGACCGUUGUUUUUGAGAAUCUCAGCAAUGGUGACUACAGUUGCGAUGGCUGAAAAGUUCCCACGAUAACAAAUGAUCAUCCAUGGUAAGGUGAAAUUUGUUACAAGCAAACUACAUCAGCAUAAGUAUCCUCUGUCUGUGUCAACUAGAAAUUUAACUUUUCAGACACAAGCAACUACUGUAGCAACAUUAUUAUUAUUUAUUUCACUUGAGUUUGAGCUCAGUAGAUAGGGCAUCAUCAACCUGAUAACACGAACAUUCCAUGAGUUCCUAAUGAUAGAAUGUAAGCAUAUAAAUCUCCUCCAUUGUUUUCACCAGUGAAAGAUUCUGUUGCAUCUUCUUCUUUUUUUAAGUUAGCUCGAUAUACGUAAGCAGAGAAUUCCAGUUCCUUUUCUUCUUCCAAUUCUCCAACUCGUACGAAUAUCUAGUUGAUUAUUAAAAAAUUCGACACCAGAAAAUUUCUCAAGACAAAGCAAGCAGUCAAGCAUUAACACCGUGGAACUUUACAAAGGGAAAAAAAGUGAAGGAUCACCCAAAGGAAGCCUAUGAAACAUCGAUAGCUCUAAUUGUUUGUCGGAUAUGGAGAUGUGCCUGGAUAUGUGUCUUGAUCAGCUAAGCACAAGAGCAUAAUAAACCAAUAGGCUAUUAGAUCAUAACAAUUGGUAGCAAAAUAAUUAUGUUACACAUAUGCCAUUCUCACAAUUUACCUGUUAAGACAUAAAUGAGAGUCCAAUCCAUCAAAUUAGUUUCAGCAUAAGAAGAAUUACCAAGACCAUAGCCCAAAGAAAUAGACUUGAAUAGUGCUUGUUCGUGCGGAAGAAGAUAUAUAUUGCGAAAGCAGUUACACCCAACAUUGAUAGGAGGAACGAUAAUAGUAGAGCAAGGAAGCAAUACCCAUUCCAAGAGCCGAAAGCUCCACUUCAUUGUGUUGCUGCAUGUACCUCUGCAAACAAAAGUAUCAUAGAGUUAUCGACUAUUACAACGAAUAAGAGAUACACAGAGCACUCGAACCUCAGUCAUGGACACUAAAAUAUAUCAACUUGAGGCCAAAAUUAAGAGAAAAAGCACAAAUGAAAUAUAACGCCAGAAAAUCCAAGAAAUUUCUUCUCAUUCUGGGGCAACAUCAACUAAGGUUAGGGUUUGGCACCUUAGCGAGAUUGACAUAGAAAAAGAGGGGCUUCUUCGUAUUCGAGACUUGAAUCCGGUUCUUCUUGUAGGAAUCGGCGUUGACGCUGAGAUUGUUGAUGCCUUCCGUGACCUCCUCCAUCGACGCUCGUUUCGCUUACAAUCUGCCAAGAGACGAGAGAGAGAAACCCUAAUGCGCGCCCACAACCGAAAAGAGACAAAUACGUUAUAUAUACCACUAGAAAUAAUACAUGUAUAUAUAUACAUGUAUAUAACUCUGUGGACUCGGCGAGUUGAGUCACAGCCCCUCCCGAGCUUUGUCCGAGUCAUACCAAGACUCGGCGAUUCCAAAGCCCAAACGACUCGCGCAUUACAGGAGGGAUCCCCUACAACUCCAUCUACUUUUAGUAUUAUACAAUUCGCACGUCACAACCGUCCAUUAGAACCAGCGCAACUCACACCCGUGUGAUCCCCAGCAACCUUGAACGUGGGAUCCGAUUCACCUGUGAUCGAGAUGCGUCAGUUACGCGCCAAAUAUUGUUAUUUAUAGACUAUUGAUAUAUAUAUAUAUAUAUAUAUAGUAUAUGUAUAUAUAUAUAUAUGUGCAUGUAUAUAUAUACAUAUAUAAAUAUAUAUAUGUAUGUAUAUAUAUAUACAUAUAUAUAUAUGUGUAUAUAUAUAUAGUAUAAAUAAUACUGCUAACUUUUGAUGUUAUUUAAAGUAUCAACUAACAUUUAUAAAUAAUUAAUUGAUAAAAAUAAACAAUAAUUAACAUCUAAAAAUGACAUGGAUCUUUUCAAAUGAUAAUGUUUUCCAAAUCUUAUGAAGAGCUAUACAAUGAGGGGCACAAAAACUCAUAAAGCAAAUCAAAUUCCACAGCAUUACAAUUCACUUUCUUACUAAUCUCAGAAUAAAACACUGAAAAAUAAUGUACAAAAGCUGUUACUUGAUACAAAUUCCACAACACAUCCAAUCAUAGAUGCCUUUCCUUUUCUUGGUCAUUUCUGAACCCUUUCACCACAAAUACUAAUGAGACUUGUUAAUGGGAGACAGCAUGUGUCUUGCUUGGAUCAUUCUCCUACUGACCUUCUCCAUUGGCACUGCUGUUGGAUCCUCUCCUGCUAACCGUAGUAUUUUUCAAGAUCUGCAAGAGAAAUAUAGGCUGCAAAAUUAGAAGAGUUUCAUAACGGCGAGUGAUUUCAGAUGGAUGAUCCAAUUAGCACGAGCCAAAGCAAAAUAAAUCAUGGUUAAUACCUCACAACACGACUAAAGAUGCUAAAGAUACAAUGAAAUGACAGACUAGGAUGCUUCUGCAACAUAUGAGAGUUCAUGGCCGAAUAAAGUCAUGAAUAAUGUUUUUAUAAAGCAAAAAACACAAGCAAAAGAAUUUUGUUUGGUAAAAGUCUUUCACAAAGCAAAUAGUCUCAUGCCACAGAAGCAGUCCUGUGAAUCGUGUGGUGAUUACAUGGUUUCGGUAGCUACAAAUGACUCAAUUAUCCAUGAACAGCAACUUCAUCGUAAGAAAUCUGGAUUUUCUCACAGAUGAUGAUGCAUUUGUUUAUUUGUUUUUGUUAGCAAAUGAAUGCAACAUAGAACACACAUGUUGGACCAUUGUGGACAUGUUUUGGAACGAAGUGCAAGUCAAUACAGCUAGGCUGCAACUGCAGAAAUUGCUGGUUCAUACAAGCAACUCAAAGGUGCUUGUGAGAACUGAAAAUGAUCUGUGCAGAAUUUGCUAUGUCAAAAUGGCAAGAAAUGACAAAAUCUCACAUCAGCAGCCAUCGCAACCGAAAAUAUUCCCCGAAUUAUCCUACUUCAAAAAGUUCUUCACUAACCGCAAGAUAUUAGGCUCUUCGGACUAUCCACAUACUCCACCUUGGAACUUCACUAAUUUAAGCAUCGGAAAGAUCUGAGUCAGAAAACCCGACAUCAGACUCCUGCAGGCACUUGGGAGGAUCUCGACACUACCCUAGGUCGAGUCGUGCCUGUCAUCCCUUUAAGGAACUGACUUUGGUGAUAACAGUGUUUACAAACCAUAGGUUUAAGAGAAGUAAACAACUCUAGGUUCAGGAAGUCAUUGUAAUAUGAUAUAUAUAUACACACACAUAACAGGCAAGUUUUGGUAGCUUGAUGAAGAAAGUUAUAUGGCUCGAAUUAUGCAUUCAUCAUGCAGUGAAUCUAAAAGUAUGUUCAUCUUUGACAGGUAGAAAAAUGAACCAGAAAAAAUCAGGUCUUGUUUAACUCGAAGUAACAAGUGGCGAUAAGUAUAGUGGCUAUGACAAUGAAUGUUAUUAGAGUCGAGAAGACAUACUUGUCUCAGCAUGUUGUUCUCAUUCUGCAAUGUGGACAUCCUCUCCUCCAGUUCUGAGUUCUUGGCCUCCAAAUCCUUCACCUUGGCCUCCAAAUCAUUCAGGUAAGCCUUCUUCCUCUCCCUGGCUUGCUGGGCUGACACUCUAUUCCUCAGCAGCCUUUUGUUGGACAAGACACAUCAUACAGUAAAAGACAAGACAAAAGUCAUUCCCAAAAUUCCCGAUGGAUUAAACGUUAUCCAAACCUCUUCAGCCGCUUGUGCUCCUUGUCGGCCGGGCUCCUCCCUCGCCGCCGCUGGCCGCCCUGGGCGGCAGACUGGGCCCGGUCCGGACCAGCCGUCGAGCCGGCCUCUCUGCCGGAGGUCGAUGUACCGGCCGGCUCGAACCCGAAUUCCGGCACUCUCCUGAUCUCCUCGUCGCUCUCCAUUCCUGAAUCAGGGGACCCAAGAAAAGCCCAAUUUCGCCAUCACGUCAAGAAAAAAGAUCAAAACUCCACAAGGCAGCACGAACAAGAACAGCAAAACAACAAAAAUCCCUCAUUAAAAAAAAAAAACGCAAUUUUGACGAAGCAAAAAACGGCGAAAAAGGUACAUUGGUCGAAUUAAACCGAAAAAUAUCUUCAUCUUGGACUGGGAAAGCACAAGCUCCUUUAAAAAAGCGAUUUUUCCGCAAAAUCCAUGAGAAUCAAUACAAAAGAAGAAGAUUGCCUUCUUUGACUUCCAUCUGGGGGGCAGAACUCGAGGACCUCUCGCUGCUCGAAGGAAGUGAGCUGGUAGUCUGAUCCUGCAGCAUCCUUCCCCUCCUCCUCCUCCCUAUAGAGGGAACAGAUCUACAGAGUGGAAGAAAAAGUCUCUCUCUCUCUCUCUCUCUCUCUCUCUCUCUCCCACCUUUUGGGAAGGAAGGAGGGGGGGGAGGAGGAUGGGCUGGUGAUAUCAAUGGGGGGUUUCGGGGUUUAAAGGCGCGAUUCUAGCCGUCCGAUGUGGGAGCAUCGGACAGUAGAGAGUGCGUGAUCGUGGACGAAGGAGGAGCCACGAAACCCAGGGGGGAAUCCAAAGGUGCGCAGGCGGCGAGCGUGGAGAGUUACUGACCGUUCGAUUCAUAUCAAAUCGAGUGGUCGAUAAGCCCCGUGCAUUGAAUCCGGUCUUCACCGUUUAGUCAUUAAUAAUAAUAACAUACCUCCAUUAUUUUUUUCUUGAGCAUAUAUCUAUUUUUCCCUUCUUUUUAAUGUUCUUUAUAUGAUUUAUUAAAGGGUUUUACACAACAUACUUUUCCUUUUCCUUAGAUUUAGUUGAGUGUCCCUCUCUGUCUCUGUAUGAUAAUGGGGACCAUUGGUCCACCAUAAGGUAAAAAUCAUAAUUAAUUAUCAAAAUUAUAUUAAAUUUAAUUAUCUCAUCAUAGAUGAUAAAAUAAAAAAAAAAUUAACUGUAAUAUAAAAAAAUAAUUGAGACUUAUGAUUUUAUUGUUGUUUUAUUGUUUGUUUAUAGGAAGAAAAUAAAUAUCUUUCCUCAGAAAAUAAAAAUAAAAAUUAUUUGAAUCUCAAGAUAUUUGUAAGUGCAAUUUUUUUUUAACACAUAUUGUAUGAAUUUAAACACUUAUUGAUUAUGCAAUAAUACGAGUGAGAUAAUCAUCUUCUUAUAUUGUAUUAAUUAGUAAUUGAGAAAUGAUCAUUUAGGUACUAAAAUUCCUUUUUUCCUAGAAUGUAAAAUGCAUGGUAUCUCUCACACCAUGUGAAUUGUAUUUGUUUUUUAAGGAUGGGAAUUGCUUGAUGAAUGCUACAAUCUAAAUGAGAGCACUCUUUGGACAUGGAUAAUACAGAAGAGGAGAGGAGAUUUGGACUUGACAUGCCCUCCUAUGUUGAUCUGUCCACAGGAUGGGAAUAAUUCUUGGUUGGUCAUGCAUCCUUCACAUUUCCCACAUCAGCCAUGAGGUUGUGAGAUGACUUGGUACCACCUGGAUUUUUAUGAGCCAAAGUUGGGCAUUCUCUUUCCACUGAAAUGAUUGCUGGGAAAAGUAGUUGGAGAAUUGAAUUAGAAGAAUGAAAACUUGCAGAGAGAGAAAAUGACUCCUCAUUUUUGUCUUUAGACUUCAAUUCACCUCUCACCAUGUGUCCAGAAAAGUUGCCCAGCAAAGAGAAUGGCACUGUGCAGAGACAAUGGUGUCUCAAAGGAUCAGAACCAUGCACACUCAGCAAGAAAGCCAGGUUCAAUUCUUCUCUGUUUUCUUCCAAGAUGCAUGUAUACUUGGUAGAUGUUGCCAACAGCAAUCAAGUUACUUUCUUCAGUGGUCCACUGAUGAGUGGACAAGCAUUCAUUUGCCUUCACUGCAUCUUUCUUUGUCGCUUUCCUCUUUCUAUGGGCAUCCUUUUCCUCGUUGCAGAUCCCAUCUUCCUUCAUGUACACUUGCUCUGCACAAUUUAGACUCCCUUUCAUCACUUGGACAUGUCCAGGUACCCAGGAUGAAUCUUUAAGCACUUGCCAAACCUUAACAUGAAGAAUCCCACAGGUCUAGGUGCAGAGAUCAAUCAAAAGAAGCUAGACAGCUUUGCAUAAAAGAUAGAGUUUGACAGCUGCAAGGGUCUUUUCUUAGGCAGAUUUUUGCAAGUAAAAAGAACUGUCUCCAUAAUUUUGACAAUGAAGAUGCCUCACCUGCUGUCCUCCAAAUAUGUACACAGGCAUUCAAGGAAAGUCCAAUUGAGAGGGAGAGAGAGAGAGAGAGAGAAGAAUAAUUUGAAUAUUAGCUACCCUUAUCCUAGGCACACAAAACAUUAUGAAAAUGCAUCCAGUGAAACAUCCAGCAUGUCUUACAAUGUUGUUGUAAAAUAUAAACUCCUAGGUAGAUCAUGGAGAACAAAAGAAGCUUCCCAGAAACUGUCUUUGCAAAGAUUAAAUAGCAUGAUGCACUUGCCAAUUAUUUUCCAGGUACAAACCUGGGGUACAAAGAACAUAUGACUUCUAGAACACAUGAUGCAUUGGAGAAACAGAUUUGAAACAUCCAUAAGGUUAAUACAAAAGAGGACACAUGUACCAAUGGAUCUAGUGAUAUUGGUGCACAAUUGGUAUAGUUGCAUCUGGAUAGAUUCUAUUUAGAAGAAAAGACCAGGGAAAUAAUCAGCAGAAUCAUAAGUUGGACAGAGAAUUUAAUUGCUUAGCUAGCCCAUGGUUGCAAUUUGCACCUUCAUGAACCCAUGAAGAUAUCAAAUGAUGAGCGAUCGCAUAGGGUCCAGGAACGAACAUUGGUGCGAGUUCUCCACUUUCCACGUUAAAGUCUGAAGAGAAGUUCUGACCUCUCUCGACACCCCCGCACAUUUGGUUGACCUUCAAGGCAGCUGUCUUUUGAGCUUUCUCAUAUUCGGCAAAAGUAAGUGCCUUUUUGACAUCCUCUCUUUUGUGCCACUGAGCAUCUGAAGAAAAGAAGUAUAUAGUAUAUUUCUGCUGCGUUGUCGUAGUUGCCACUUUCUAUGAAAACUACUGAAUAUACUUACCUUCUAGCUCCACCUUGUCCACAUGAAUAUCAAAUGAUUUGGCAUAUGCAAAGAACCCCACCAUCAACUGACUUGGCAUACUGCUAGGCCCAACUGAGAAAAUAUAAAACUUCGUCAAUUUUGUUUGUGCAUGCUUGUCUUUGAUUUAGAAUGGUAAAAAAAAAUAAGCAUAAAGCUAAAACAUCCUCAUGUUAUUUCAUUUAUUUUCUUGAAUAUUUGUUUCCCAUUGAAAUAUGAACCACGUGACUAUAUACUUCAGUGUUUUUAAAUAUCAGAAAAAAUCACAGCAUUUCAUUCAGUUGAGUGCAUCUCAGAUACAAAAGUGCCUUUAAGAUGCUUGACUACAUACGAUUUUUUAUAAUUGAAAAUAUUCACAUCUUCCUUUUUAUGACUUUGGAUCUUUUCAUGGACUACAUUUAACUGAAACCAAUAGUCGUAGAAAAUCUCGGGUACAUUUGUUUCUAUUAUAUGUAAGUCAUAAAAUUGUAUAAACUUCAUUUGCAAGCUAAAAAAUACGAAUGUGGACUUUAUUGUCAUUGUUCAUGGUAAGCAAAAACACUAUUUUAUCACAGUACAGACAAACAAAGAGCAAACAGGCAAUCAACUGAAGAAACAAUAAACACAAUCAGUCAUUUAGUUCUUGAUGCAUAGAUGUUUUCUGAGUUUGUAACUGAAAGGUAAGUCGACUUUUGCUAUUACUAGAACAAACAUUUCCUAUUAUGAUAGAGUAUCUUCCUUGGCUUCUAGCUGUUCUGAAAAGAAAUAACAACAACAGUCAAGAUCAAGAUUUAAGUCUUCGAUGAAUGCAUUCACUUCAGCCACAUUUAAGGCUUUACUUAUAGAAUAAAACAAAUUCUGGUCAGAUAUAUCCAUAUGGCUUUCUCAUAUGAUGGUUCUAGUAUCCUACAUAUUUUAGAAAUCAAGCAUUCAGUUCGCAUGUCUAGGGUGGUACCUCAGCAUAAAACAUUCUGUAUAUUAAUAACUGAACAUAUAAUUGGAAUAUCUAACUCAACGAAAAAAUAAUGUGUUAAAAGUUUCUGUUCAUCAUCCAAUUUCUAACCUUUCAAUGAGUUUCUUCGACCAAGAAUAAAAGAUUGUCUAUGGUGGUUGCAAUUCCAUCAAAUUGAGCUCAAGAAACUGGUGCUGCUUCUUGCUUAACAGAAAUUGCAUUUGUAAGACCCAUCUGAUUCUACAAUUAUAUGAAUCUAAUACCCAAGCACUAUUAACUGACUGUAAAAUUCUAUAGCUUGAUUUCAAAUUCUUGCCAAUUCUUGUUCAAAAAUACUUAUAAGAAGAAGAGACAGAAGUAAGACAAUCUUUGAGAAUGUUCACUCAUUAUUCUUUUCAGAAAACCCAAUCUCUAGACAUUAUGUUGCAUGUUUGGGAACACAAAAUGGAGAGAUAGGUAGAUACCAGGCCAUGGCUGUGAGCUGUGGUAAACAACUUCACCCACUUCAAUACCAGUCUCUUCCCUAGUUUCUCUUCUUACUGCCUCUUCUAAGCUCUCUCCUGGCUAAGAAAAUUAAGCAGUUAGCAGUUACAGUCUAGAUAAUCUCAUUUCAACUUGCAUCACAAAUAGUUCAUAUCUCUCGGAGAGGACAUACGCAUGUCAUCAUUCUGACUUAAAUUAAGGUAUCAGUACCUCUAUAAAACCAGCAAGACAACUCCACAUGCGGGGCACAAACCUCGAUUGGUGGCUCAACAGUGCACGAUCAUUCUCCUUGUCAAUCACGAGCAUAAUGACCACCUACUUGAGAUUAUUAGCCAUGCGACAAGAGUGAGCACCAACAGAACAAUUCAACAGUGAUGGAAGUAGAGGGAUCAAACUAUACAGGAUCAACUCGCGGAUAAAUUCUCUUCUUGCAGGACCCAUUCGUGCAUUGCUUCCGCCUCCCUGCAUCGGUGGAAACUGUGCGAGCUCCACAGUGCCCACAAAAACGUGACACAUCGUGCCACUCUAGCAGUGAUCGUGCCUGGUCCAAGAUAAGAUGGGAGAAGUCCGGAACUUCUAGUUAUGAGCCACAUCAUCAUGACAACGAAAGAAUAACAACAGGAAACAAGAACAGCUAAAGAUGGUUGCUAAGAGAGCAAACGGAAAUUAUAUGAUGUCAAAUAUAAUGAAUAGUUUAAAUAUAUGUGGGGACAUGUUGCCACACUAUCAUCAUUAAGUGGGAAAAGAGGAAUGUUCUUCAUCAAGAACCGAGAUUACCAUAGUACUACUUACAUCAGGAACUCGGUAGCAUUUUUGUUCACAGCAUGAAACUAAGAGUAUGAAUCGAUUAAUUCCGAAGUAAAAGCGAUCAGCUUUGGCUGGUAUACUUCGUUCCGACGUUCUUCAAUAUGGCGACUUUUGUCCCUUAUUUGAUCAAUUCCCAUACAGAGACCAUAAAAGAUCAUAGCAGAAGAACAGCUUACAUGUCCGGCAAUGGCCAGCUCCCCCAUCGCAUCCGCAUCGGCCCAAUCGGUAGCAACCAUCAACGUCCUCAACUCCACGAAGCACAACCCAUUGCCGCCGCCUCCCAGCUCAACAUUGCCCGCGUCAGAGACGUCAACCGCCCAAUAAACGGUGCCGGCUUCCUCCACGGGGCCCGAACCCAAGUAGACGAAGGAUUCGGCCGCUAAGUCCCCAAACUUCGCGGCAGAAACCCACCCAAGAUUCCACCUUGGCGCCGAACCCGACGUGGAGUCGACGGAGCGGGCCAAAGGUCUGCCCUUUUUGAAAGGCAACACCCUGGCAACUUCCGAGGACCCAUCGGCCGAACCGGAGAGGAGGGAUUUGAGGGCGUCAAGGGCGGAACCGGGGGAGGACGAUCCCUCCGACUUGGGGUGGCUGGAUCUCAGCGGAUUUCCGGCGAAGGCGUGAGAUCGAAGAUUGAUGGACAUGGCAGCCCCGUAGCGACGAGAAGGAGGACGAUCGAAUCCUUCGUGAGGUGGAAUUAAGGUUCUUGAAGAAGGACUUCGCGGUCUCAGGUAUAAAGCGAGAUGAAUUCGCUUGAGGAGACGGGAAGCGACGAUCAUCUCGCGGUCGCCAUAGUUACGACGAUUGCGAGGGCGGGAGGUCGGUGGAAGUAGGGCAAGGAUCCCUGACGCAGUCAACUGCGAAAGCAUGUAUCCAUUAGAUCGUAGAUGCGAGUGAUCAUCUGAUCUGACGACUGAAAAGAAGAGACUUUUCACAUGAACCAGCGACAGAGGUGGAAAGCAAGCAGUGGAUUUUAAGGCUCCCACGUUGUUCCAUACAAGAGCGUCGCAGAUGGGUGGACGAUGCCGUCGCAUGUCGUCGCUUUCAUCACCACCUAAUCUCUACCGUCCACUGCUUUCUUUUAUUUUUAUUUUUCUAAAAACCCUGAAAGAAGCAUAAAUUUUGAGAUCCGCAAAUAGAUAUUUCAUAAUUAAUUUAAUAUUUAAUAUAUAAUAUAAAAAUAAAAUUUAAUUUUAAAUAAGUCGUAUGAUACCCUGUUAUCUAUAAAGGAUUAAUAUCUUUAUAUCUUCCUACAUCUUUAAUUACUUUGAAAGUUCGUAUUUGUGAGUUAGCUGAUUUUACAUAAUAUUUAUUUGAAUAAUCUCCUUUCAAGAUUUUAUUUUUUUUGACCCAAUUUUCAUAUUAUCACUUGGUAUCUUCAUCGUCAAUGUCGAGAUUGUACUCUCACGACAGGGUUGAGUUAUAUUCAACCAAGAAUCACUUAAUAAAAAUCCCGUAAAAUUAUAAUAAACCCUACCUAAUCGUCUCUAUUCUAUAACGAAGAAUGAUUAAGAUUUAUAUUUUGAUAUUUGGACUUCCUAAUCAUCGCCCUCUCCCCUCCCUUUUUACUGGCCGAUCAACUAGAAUUAGAACAAAAGGAAUAAUUCACUUAGGAAGUAGCCUUAGAACUAGAGUUUGGAAUCUUAUAUAAACAUAUAACCUUAUCUCUUUAAGAAUAAAAUCUAUCUAUAAUUACAGCACCGAUUUAUAGGAGGGUAGAACCCUAUAGUGUUCAAGGAUUGAUCCCUUCUAUGUCGCGAGUACUUUCCCGUCAAAGCCGAGGACGGAGUCCUCUUUCAGGCCGCACUCGAAGCAGCUGGAGGGCUGGCGAAGUUGUGUCAGGCGCAGGAGCAGUACCGGUCGCCAGGGCGGACGUCGGGGCCGCUGAAUCCGAAUGACGGCCCGCCGCGAAGGCCGCUGCAGUUUGAGGGGGGAGAAGUCACUGUGCCAAUGGACACCAACAUGAUAACGGAAGGUGAAGGACUCCAUUUCCCACCUUUGGAUGGAUAAGAAGGAAACGAUCACAUCCACUUCCAAUGAUCACCUACUAGCAAAACAGCCAUUGCUUUUCUAGAAUUCUCGCUUGAAGUGAAACCUCUCUGAGUCUUCUUUUAGUGGAUAGGUAUAAGGAGGGAGGAAUCAUCCAUGCAAUGUUUUUCGUGCACCAUUGCUGAAUGAAAGGAAGAAAACUGGUGGAUUGUCGAAUGAUGAAAGUGGUCUUCGAGGAUGGCUUUGACCGUCUUUUCGGCUUGUUUGAUGUGCUUGCGUUGAUUGCCAUUUCCCCAUCCUUGUUCAACUCCCCCACCCACUUCUCUUUUUCUGCUUUUGCUUUUGCUUUUGCUGCUCUCUGUUUUCCCAUGGUGUUAACAUUCCCUCCCUUCUCUCGCGUGCUGCAAAAGCGCAGUGGCGAACGGUGGAAAGAAAGACCAUCACCAAGCUCUCUGUCUCUCUCUCUCUCUCUCUCUCUAAUGUCUUUUGUCUUUGUUGUGCUACCCAGACUCAUUCUACAAACACUGGCACAUGAAAAGGUGAAUUGUCAUCACAGUGAAGAACAUGAAAGUUAGAGAAGGGAGGGCGAUGGCAAGCACCUGCUUCGUUCCGCUCUCUCUCCCUAGUCCUCUGCUGUUGCCUUGGAACAGUUAGUUUAUCCAUGCUCGAAGAGAGAUGAAGAGCACAAGAACUUCCACCAAGCACCAGAGUAGAGGAAGACGUCAAAGAACCGAGCACAGAUCUCAAAGUGAUCGAUUUGGAGGGAAGAUGGUGGGAUCGGCCCAUGAUUUGUGGCCCGUCAUUUGGAGGCUCGGCCCACAUUGUACAUGCCUCAAUAUUUCUUUCACUGACAUCUACCUAAAAAUCGAAUCCGAAUCCGAAUCCGAUAAAGAGUUAUUGGGUAAUUAAUACAUAUAAUCCCUCCCUAUAAAAUCUUUAUUAUAAUUGUAAAAAAAAUUAAAAAUAUUUUAGUAUUUCAAAUUAAAAAUAUUUGUUUGAUCAAUCCAAAUUAAAAUUCAAACAACUGAUCAUUUAGCAAGUGAAGAUCCCACAACAACACAGCUAUUAUGGUUAUAAUUACCAUCAUCAUCAUCAUCAUCAUACGGACUUCGAUUCAUUCAAUGAUGACAAUGGAAGUAGCUCAUCCUCAUCCAUAUGGUCGUGCUUGUGGCAUCAUGAAGCCAUGCACUUAUUCGAUGCCCUUCAUCAUUCACACCCCGACCACAUCGAGCGAGGCGAAGGGAGGGGAAGUGCAUGAUUGGGAAACAUGAGGUUCUUAAUGGCACAUUCAGUGCAAGAGAUGUCAUUCAUCAUUGCCAGGGAUUCUGUACAUGAUUUCCCUGGUGGGAAUUCAGCAGCAGCCAUUAACUGUAGCAGAAGAAGAAUCCCAUGCAUGUUUCCAGCCAUUACGUGAUGAUAAGUAAUUUUUCUGUGUAUUGAUCGAAUGAAGAAAGUAUACAAAACUCAUACGUGCCUUUUCAUGGCGAUGGUUUCGAUCAUUCACUGCCUCCUCCUGUCGCUGUAUUGAAUGCUGCAGGCGCUCCAACUCAAACGACGUCGGUGCACGAGAAUCUGUGGCGUGGCAGAGAAGGAUGGGGAAAUGGGACGUGAGACGCGCAUGCCUCUGCGAGUUCAUCACGCUCUCUCUCUCUCUCUCUGUGUUAUUAUUGCUCGUCUUCACCCAUCUGUUGCUGCUUAUCAGUUCAUCAUGAACUUCGAAACCACACUUAAAUGAUGCCUUUCUGUCACCACAUCAUUACUGUCCUUCUUACGAUCCACAGUCAUCGACUGCUCCGGUGGCUGUGCACUGUAAGCAUAUUACUAGUGUAUGGAGAAUGUGCACUUUAAAUCCAAACAGAUAUGACUUCCUUCUCGUGCAACUGAGGAUUGUUGAGUCUUCUUGUGUUCUUUCCUUAUCCUGUUCUUUCCUUAUCCUGUGCAUCUAAGGACUUGGAUUAAACUCUUAGUACCAAGAACAAGAUAUCAUGUCCUACAAAAGACAUCACAGCCGUAUCUUUCAUGUUUCCUUCUAAUAGUUAGGUUGAUAGAAUCACCAUCUUGUUUGAUUUUACAGAAGAGCUACACGAACUGUGGUGACCGACAUUGCAAAUCACCAAAUACCAUUUCUUUCCAAAAGAUUUGGGUCUACUUUGUCAUAGUCAAAGUAAAAAAGAUGAAACGCUUACCAAAACAGUCACGUUGAAAAGACAACAGAUAGUUUGCAGAGAGGAAGUGAGACCAAAACGAUAAGAGAAGACUCGAAAGAGUUCACAGAGAGGGGAGAGAAGUGAGACCAGAACAAUAACAAGGUUCUUCAGCUCCCCUGAUUGCUGUGGAAUACAAGGAAGUCAUGGCCACGAUCUUCACACUGAGUCUUUCUUGUAGCUUGAUUCAGGAGCUAUCAGUUCUAAUAUGUACAUGAAGGGAACACUCAAAAGUAGUCAAUAUGCUGAGGGAUGUGGUAUGGCUCAUCCCUGACCUUCUUGCUUAGCAUUUGAGCUGCUACCGGACCUUUGCUCCGACUCCGAGCUCUCCUUGAGUCUCCGGGGACCUCAGGUGGCCUCACUGACCUGAUGAGAGCCCAAUUCACACCCUUGAAGAACACAUGCCUUUUGAUCUGGGCAGAUCCCUUCACGCUCCCGAUCCUCUUCUUGGGGUUCUUCACCAGGAGCUUGCUGAUGAGAUCUUGCGCUCUGAGCAACUCAUCGAGCUCCUUGCCUGUUGCUGCCGCCACGGGAAACGAAAGCGGCGCCUUGAUGAUGUUGACGAGGGUCCUCUCGUUGUCCUCGCCUUUGAACGGCGUCCUGCCGUGGAUCAUCUCGUAGAGGAACACCCCGAGCGCCCACCAGUCGACGGCGCUUCCGUGGCCGGCGCCGGAGAUCACCUCGGGCGCGAGGUACUCGUGCGUCCCGACGAACGACUUCGACCGCGCGGUGAUGGGCUCGGCGACGAGCUCCGGGUCGAGCUCUUCCUGAUCAUCCAAGUCAUCCUCCUCGGGCGUCUUCGGCUUCCUGUCGUGCUUGUUGGCGCCACGGCCGUAGAAGCAGGCCAGCACCGGCUGCAUGGGCGGCACGCAGGACGAGCCGGAGCCCUUCGCGUUCCUCGCCACGGGCUUGCCGCUGAGUCUUGGGGUCAUGAGCUUGGGGACGACGUCGCACUUGAGGGAGAGGUCAAAGUCGGAGAUCAUUAUGUGGCCGUCGUCCCUCACGAGCACGUUCUCCGGCUUCAGGUCUCUGUAGACCACGCCCAUCAUGUGGAGGUACUCCAACGCCAAGAGGAUCUCGGCGGCGUAAAACCUGCGUAAUAGCCAUGCGUACAUCUCGUCAGAACCUUGCAGUCAGACUACAACGAUUGGAGAUCGAGACAAAGGGGUUGGAGCGUUACUUGGCAGAGGAGAUUGUGAAGCGGCGGCCGGGCUGGCGCUGGCGGACGACGUGCAGGUCGCCGCCGGGGCAGAACUCCAUGAGGAGGCAUGAGUAGUGAGCGGCGUCGAAGUCGGCGUACAGGGUGGGGAGGAAGGGGUGGUCAAGCGUGCGGAGGAUCUCCUUCUCGGUCUCCGCACGCUGGAGCUUCUUGCGGAAAGCGAGCGCCUCCCGGUCGACCACCUUCAUGGCGUAGAGGCAGCCCGGGAAGCGGGGGUCGCGGAGCCGGCAAAGAUAGACGUUGCCGAGGUCGCCGCUCCCGAGGCGACGCACGAGGCGGAAGUGCUCAAGGCGGACGCUGCCGGAGGCGGCGCGGAGACGCUGGAUGGCCUCCCACUCGGCCUGAUUCGCCUUGUGGGGCUUCAACUGCUGCUGCUGGCCUCCGCCGCGGCAGGAGCGGGCGGAGAUGGAGCUGGAAGUGCCGAAGCUGAUGUCGCUAAUCCAGCUCCGGCGGGAUUCGAGGGCAGUGCUAAGGGAAGAGCAGCUGCUGUCGUGGUCGGAGUCGUCUCGGCCUGCGGUGGCUGCCAUGGGCUGGCUCGUUCGACUUUUGGCGUGCAGGAAGCGGGCUUCUAGCUCAUCAAGGUCUCCCCUUACACACACAUAAUAUCACCGAGUAUAUUUAUACUAAGAACAGUUAUAGCGGGAAGCAUUCCGAUUUUUAGACUUAAACAAUUUUAUAUUAAAAUUUUAUAAUUAUAAAAAUAAAAUAUUUAACUCUAUUUAUUAUAAUAUCAUCAAUUUAACCAACGAAAUAUAUCACACAUAUAAAAAUAAUAAAUAAAAAUAUAAUUUUAAUAUCUCAAUUGCAUAUUCAGUGGUGACGGACAACGAUAUCGUCAGAGGCCGUGGGUGACUGUUAUGGAUAAAAAGAGAAAGCAAUGAUGAGAGAUGAGGCAAAAAGGAGAGAAGAAAGAUGACAACGAAGAUAUCAAUGUGUGUAUUUACGUCGGCGCCGACAGACGUUGUCGAACAACCGUGUCGGUGUCGAUACAGAUGUAGAUGUAAAGCGAUAUUAUUUUGCAUCUGCGUCAACACUAACAACAUUAUGGGGAAGGACGACAUCACUUUAUAUCUACAUCAGUGUUACUCUGCUCGACAUUGACACAGAUGUAGAGCAGUAAAAGGGCCACUCGACAUAUGCAUCAGUGCCAACGCAGAUGCAAAUGCAGAGCGUUGCUGACAACGAUGCGAGGAAGAGCAAUGUCCCUCUACACCUACAUCAAUGUCGCUCUGUAUUUAAGUUGACGCCAACAACAAUGCGAGGAAGGGCAGUGCCCAUCCUUCUUACCCCCUUCCUCGAUCCCUCAUUCUUCUUCCCCCUUUCGACGCUUAACAAGCGCAAGAGGGAAGAAUGAUAAGCGAUACAAAGGGGAAGAAGGAUGAUCGAUGCUCAACAUAAUUGCAUCAUCACUCAUCCUUCUUCCCCCCUUGCGCAUGCCAAGCGACAAAAAAGCGAAGAAGGAUUUCUCGUAUCGUUAUCGACAUCAACGUAAAUGCAAAGUGACACUGAUGCAUAUGCUGAGCAUCGACAUCUACAUUGUCCACUUCCUUCUUCUUCCCUCUGUUGCUCGCCCUCCUCAUCCUCCUUCCCCUACAAGAAGCCACAAAAAUCCCCAACAUUCUCAUUGAUUACAACCACAAUAGCCAUUGGUAGCUCCCAACAACGUCGUCAUCCAUCAUCACCGAAAAUAUAAUUAGAACGUUAAAAUUAUAUUUUUAUCAUUCUAAUAUCAUUUAGGAUAAAUAAAAUUAAAUAUUUUAUUUUUAUAACUAUAAGGAUUUCAACAUAAAUAUAACGAAUAUAUUUAUAAUAAGAACAAGUUAUGCCAUACUGCAGAGAGGUUGAGCACCACAUAAUUAGGUUCUAAAGUUGAAAGGACCACGAUACCUAAUUAAAUACGAUUGAUUUUUAAUAUAAAAAAAAACAUUAUAGAUAUUCUUCCUGCAUCCAUCCCACCGUAGGAAGACACUCCAGACACAGUAUGACAACCCAUAAAUAAAAUAGCAACCAAUGAUAGAGAGAAUAAUUUAGUGUCAACUAAGCCUUAUAUUUUUGCCAUUCAUUGAGGUGUAGGAUUGAAUUGUAAUCAUGGGCGGCAAAAGAUCAAACAAGUGGAGAGUUGUUUAUGUUCCUCUUCACUUUCCAUUUGCACCAGAAUGAUCAUGCCCGGUGUUUCUGUUGUGCACAAGAAACAAUCACCGAACAUGAAGUCUCACACUCAACUCAGAUAUUCAUGAAAGGAUCGACACCGGAGAUGCAUUGUAAAAGUUCAAAUCUCAGAAGGCAUAUUUCACCAUGUAUUUUUCCAAGCCAAUAAAGAAUAUUAAGUUAUCAGCAUCAACCAGUAUCCUAAAAAUGUUUAGGUUACAAAGUAAAUUUCACCAUGGAUUUUUACCAUUCACUUAUAUCUAGCUUGCAACUAAGAAGCUGACAAUAAAACAUGCUGCCAUCUGAGUGCAUUUCCUUAGAGAUUUACAAGUCAAGAAGACGAUGAAAAUAAGCUUGCACUAUAUGAUUUGAAAACGAGUAGCCGUCUGUAAGCAAAUUCGAGUACUUACAACACAUAAAACACUUCAAACAAGAAGAACAGGGCGUGACAUACCUCCCAUAACAUCAAAAUAUCUCAAGUCUUUAAAAUUAAUGUUGUCACGGUAUAAAGCAGCCACCGACUUCACCAAAAGCUGGCAACAUCAGUAGGAAUGGAUCCUAAAGGCCAACAGAGUCUAAAAAGUUGUUACAUUGGUAGCCCUAAGAAGUUGGUUUUAGCAAACACAAAUAGACCACUAUAAUAUGUUCAAAACAGACAAACCUUCAUCAAUCUGACACUCUUAUCAAGAAAGAAUGAGGUCUCUAAUGUGGCCAGUAUAUUAUUUGACAAUGCACUAAAACCCCAAGAGUCCAUUGAUAAUUGAUGGUAGCCAAAAAGAAAAAUACAAGCAAAAACAUAAGCCACACUUGGGCAAGAAAAUUGAAGAUACCAAAAAGUUGUCUGAAGCUACACAACAGAGAGACUUCCCCCCUCACCAAUUUUUAUUUCUUGCAUGAUUCAGCUCCACGUUCAGUGAUCAUCUUCAUCACCAUGUCCAUCUGGGGGCCCUCCCUCACCAAUCACUUCCAGCUGCAGAAACAGAGUUUAGUUUGAGUUGUUCUACUUUCAAACCAACAAGUAUCUAUUGAAAAAUGUAUUACACGCAUCUCAUUUUCUUUCAUAGCAUUGUGAAGUGUAGAAAGUCAUCUCAAUUACCACAAAGUAUUGUGAGCACACAGGGCAUUCAUGAGGCUUGCCUUUCUCCAACCAAAACCAGACAACAUCAUGUUCAUCCUCUGCAAAAAACAAAAAAUAUAUAUAUGUUAAUUUCCAGGCACCAGACUCGAGGUAUUCCAUGAAGGCCUGAUGAAAACAACUGUUUUAUGUUAUUUUGUUACCAUCAAAAAGAAAAUUAAGUAUAAGAUGGCAGAAAACCUGCAAAAGUGAAAACUGAGAACCUAAUAGCAUCUUAUUUCUGUCAACUUACCACCUUCACCACCAGGACAGCCAACUAUCCUCUUGUCAUAAUAAGAUUGGAUGACAGCAGGUGCUUCCUACAAGUAGACCAAAGAUGGGACAAUUUAUGAUAUGACAGCACAAUGAAACAUUUCUUAAAUAAAAAAAGUCAAUCACCAACACCUAUGCUCAUUAUCCAGCUGAAUAUAUAUAUAUAUAUAUAUAUAUAUAUAUAUAUAUGUGUGUGUGUGUGUGUGUGUGUGUGUGUGUGAAAGCAGCCACGUUCAUCAAGAACAGUAAGCCAAAAAGUCAUUGUCCAAGCAGUACAAGGAAACCACAUCGCAAUAUUGACUUUUAUUAAUAUAACUCCUAGCAGAAGUUUGCCAAGGCAUAGGAAUCAAGCCAUGAUGGACAACAAGAUAAAAAUUGUAUAGAUCAAUGCAAUAAUAGAUUACUAAUUGAAUAAGGAAAUUAAGAUGUGGAAGAACCUAGAUAUAGGAUCCCUAUCACAGUAAUACUAUACUGCAUUUAAGCAUGGAAGCAAAUAAGGAUAUGGAUUAUUUAACACUUAAAACAUGUGAUAUACAUAUUGUUCAAUUAUGGUUUUUACACUUGACUGACAUGACAAACAUCCAUCAGUAUCUCAUUAGAGAAAAGCAACGGAAUAAAAAAGACCAAACAUAAGCAAGCCUGAUCGCUUGAUUAUUACACCAAGAGCAAAAAAUAAUUUGACAUCAAAUAUUAGUAAUGACAAAUGUCAUAAGAAGACAGAUAGAACCUAUAGGAGAUUCAAAGGCACUGAACACACUUCCCUGUUCCCAGGGAUUUUAUAUGCUCCAAAUUAACAUCACUACAGUUCAAUUAAGGUUGUUUUUCAAUGCAAAAAAAUACUUUUAACAUCAAAUUUUCCUGUGGUGAUGGACAAAAUUGACAUGAAUUUACCAUGGAAUCUAUAUAUACUUGUUUUGGGGCAAGCUCAUUCUUAAAGGAGGUGACUGCGAUAGAAGACUGGUGAGAUUUUAUCUCUAGGUUUUUUUUUAUCAGGGAGGUGUUUAUUGCCAAACGAUGACAACUCUUAUUGAUGGAUCCUUCUUUAAAAAAAAAAUAGAACAAAGCUCAUAUAUGCAUUUGAGAUCUUUUUAAAUCUUCACCAUAUCUCAAGCCUAAUUGUGUUAAGAGCGUCAGUGGUUGCAAGGAAGUGGACCACAAAAAGUAAAGUUCUUACAGAAGUGACCAUUUCUGCUGUAGAACUAGUAAGAUGAGUCCCAAAGAGAGAGCCAAUUCUGACUUGCAAAGGAGGCUGACAAAGUCAACUUCUGAGUUGACGAUGAGGAGGAGAGGGCUGGUAGGCAGCAUGUGGCUUGCAACAGUGGGUAUCAUCAAGCUUUGAGAGGCACAUGUGGGGGAUCACCAGAGAGGCAGCUUUUAGGAUUAAAAAUAACAAAAAAAAGUAAACAAGGGCUUGCCUAAAUUUACAAGGUAGUUGCUAAUUUUUUAUAAUAUCAACAUAUUAUUACCAUUUAUCAAUUUACUGUCAUGCCUAGAUACACAUCAUGAUUUCUACCUGGAUACUCAAUGAAAAACACUUCCCUCUUUUAGUUUCAACUAAUCCAAUCAUUCUAGCAUUGCCCCAAAGUAUUGACAUCUCAAGAAUUCAUUUUUCACUUCAAUGAGAAAAGAAUAUUAUGUAUUUACAAGCACUAGUUUCUACAGCUCCAUCAAAUCUGGUCAUCAUAAUGCAAGGAUGGAAACCAUGAUUAAGUUUCUGCAAAUCAUUUACAUAAAUCUAAUAUUCUGCGCAGCUAAACAGCAGUUAACCAGUAAUAUUUUUGUAAACCAGUGACAAACUUGUAUAUUAAUAAAAUAUGUAUUAUACCUAUAAAGAGUUAUCCAUGAGAACAUAGACUUCCAUCAGAAAGAACUCUAAAUACAUUUUUUGACAUAUAUAUAGAUGCUUAUUGUUUUAGAGCUAUGUCUCUACUAACAAAGGAAGAAAUAAUUAACUAGGGAUCCAAUUUUUAUACCUCAACACAGUUGCAUUUGUGCUCUAUAUGAAACAAUGUGAUUUGGCUUAAAAUUCACAUGAUACUUUCCAAGAUACAGCUUAAGCUUUUGCGUCAGAUUGUCAUUAAUGAAACCCAUGUAAAGAAGUCGAAUCAAAUUAAUCCUGGUUUCUGAGAUCAAUUAGAUGUAAAAAUAAGUUAGACAGGUGACUGUAAAUUUAAGGCUCCCGAAGGGCCUCAAAACAGUCCAAAAGAACAAAAAGAAGUGUGAAAGAUGCAUAUCCAUAUAUAGUGGUCCUCUCGGUCACACAUCCGAAUCUAUUUUGGUAACACGAGGAAUAUAUCCACAACCAUAUUAAAGAGGAAGACAAACCAAAUACUGCGGCUAAGGUCUCAAGAAUUAGAACCCCUAUGAGAAAAGAGAAGGAACAAGAACCCCUACCUUGGUGCCGAAGGGGCCUACGGGGGCAUCCAUAUCGAACCGCUUCUUUCCCUAAAUACCGGAAUAAGGAAACAUCAAAAUACGGUCAGUUUCCUGACAACUCAAAGCAUACGAUUUUGAGAUCGGAAAAGGAAAAAAAGAAACCUCCAGUUCGGCCUGGAUCUCCUCGCGCUCGAGCCCGGUGGCAAUCGGCAUCACGUCCUCCACCCUCUUCUUCAACGAUCCAUCACCUGAAGAAAGAAGGAGAGGAGGAAGAGAUCGACCAAAUCCGGAUCAGCUUCUACGAACUCCCGAUCCAAGAUCUCGGAAACAGACGAAGAGAACCCCUAAGGAGAAGAAAGGUCCUACCUGAAACGGAGGAGAAGAACACUGCCGGCUUCGGGGAGGGCGGGAAGGGGGAGAGGGCGCGGCCGCGAAGGGGGGCGGACGACGGAUGGGGUUUCGCGAGAGCGGAUCGCCGAGGGGCGACGCAAACCCUUCUCCACAUCGUCUCUCUCACUCUCUCUCCCUCCCUGUUCGGCCAGUGUGUUCUCAGGUCGACGGCCGCCCCUUGCCACACUCGUUUCCCUUUCGCUGUUAAUAAAAGAAUAAUAUACACCCUUGUCACGGCUGGUUGACACCGCAAAGGGGAAGUGGGUUUUGGGCUCAUAUCGUGUUGUUUACCUUUGGCCCAGUUGGCCUUGGUAGUAUCAAUUUUAGUGUUAUUCUAAAAAUAGUUGUAAUAAUGACGACAACAAUGAUACUAUUAAUGAUAAUGACAUCGUUAUAAUAGAAAAAUUAUAGCGAUUGCUGUUGUAAGAGGAGAAGAUUAUGGUCCUUUUUUCACCGACGGGGUUUUGGAGAGAGACUCGACGCCACGAGCAAUUAUCAAGAUUUAAGCAUUCCCAAACCUGAAAUCAACGCUGCAGCAAACUCACUACCCUCCACAAAUCCUUUUCUUGGUGGAUCCAAAGUACGUUCAAGAAUUAAUCACAUAGCAUUUGUCAUCUGCUUUCUCCACAGCCAAACGAGAAAAAAAGCUGGCAGUUAUUACACAACAUCCGGAAACCAUAGAAGCAGCCCUGAUAGGACUCGGCAGACACCAGAAAGAUAGCACUACCAUCAAAAUCAUGCCAUGUUCAACUAGCAUCCAAAUUAAACAUAUAAAUUCAAGAACAAUCGCUCCAAAGUCCAAAUUCCAAAAAUUAGAACAUAAGAGCACGUGUUUAUAUCGCAUAUGAUACUUUUAAAGUACAAUCCAGUUAUUCCCCGUACAGGCAUCCGGUGGUCUCUGAAGACAAUCUCUCUUGACGCUCAGCUGCUCACAGAUAAAGAGCCUUAAGAGUUAAUAUAAUAUUAUUUUCUAUCUCCCACCGGAAUCAGGGGAGCCGUCUCCAUACGAAACCAACCCUUUCUUUCCAUGAGAACUGGUGGAGGGAGACCUCGACUGCUCCUUGCUCGCACGUUUUGGAGAGGGAGUAUCCUGGGAAGAACGAGACCUGGAUUUGGACCUCGAACUAGAACCAGACCUGGAACUGGACCUCGACCUGGAUCUGGAUCUGGAUCCAGAUGGGCUUCUGCUUUUAGAAACUGACACACGCUUUUCAGGGCGAAUGCUAUCUCUUGCACCGCGUGACCUUGGUUUUUCUGAAGCUUGCGAAGGACUGCGAGCUGGGCUGAUGCUGUAGCCACCUCUUGCCCGGCCACGAUAGCCAACAGGGCUGCGAGAUAUGCUUCGAGUAGGGCUCCUCCGACUUCGGUACCUACAUACAUGAUUAAGGAAGGACACAAAUAAAACAACAAGGCAAUAGACGUUGAAGGUAGAGGUCAGCAUUGCAAAACCAAGACAUAUAUGAGAGAACAGAUCUAAUAAGUUUCUCCACAUUCACCUUUGAAAUUUUAAAUUUAUAAACACUACAAGUUUUUUAUGAUAUUCAGGCUAUAAAAGACCAAAACAAACUGAAUAAAACACUUAAAAAUAGUUGAAAAAACUCAGGGGGAAACCCAAGACAUUGGACCAGACCUCUCCAAGUUGAAAGAUUCAGUUUAGUUUAGUUCACAUCACUUUGCAGCAUAGUAAACAUUCCAGGAAGGAAAGAUUACCUUGGUGGGGUUCUUCCUCUUGGAGGGCUCCUAUAUCGUCUAGGAGGAGAGCGAUUGUGGUAGCUUCUAUAGCUUGAGUACCUAAAAAAGCAAUAAACAGGGUCAUACAUGACAAGGAAAUUCAUAACUAUAAAGAACAUCACGCAUUAGAGUACCAUUCACAAUCAUUCAACAUAAAGCCACACUACCUAUCACGAUCAUUUCUUCCACCAUAACGAUGCAAUCUAACAGGAGAACGAUCAGGGGAUGGAGUUCGGUAUCUUCUAGCAAAGGAGUAUUGCUGACUGAAGCCUCUACCCCUCCUUAUACGCUUAGGAGAUCCAUCCGGAGAAACACUUCUUGAUAAGCUCCUUCGACGAUUGGAUGGAGGUGAUGCGGCCCUGUGAACAGGACUCCCCUGGUUCCUGCUGAUGCUUGGUCGUGACCGAGCCUGUACAGGGCUAUGGCUUUUACUUCUGCUUCUAGACCUUUCAGGGCUUCGGCUUACACUUCUCCUAGCCUUCACUGGGCUUCUGCUAGGGCUUCUCUGCUGCAGAGACCUUCCUGAGCUUCGGCUAAUGCUCCUCCGUUUUUCAUUGACCGGACUUCUAUUCAAGCUUCUUCUAAUAGGAGUCUUGUCUUGGCUUCCACUAAGAUUUCUCUGCUGCAGGGACUUUGCUGGGCUUUUGCUUGCACUUCUGCUAUGAACUUUAACUGGACUUCUGCUCUUGCUCUUCCCAGUCAGGCCAACUGGAUUUUUGUUUAUGACUAUUCUUAUAGGACUUCUACUAAUAGUUCUUCUAAAUGGGCUCCUGCUGGUACUUCUCCGAGGUGGGCUUCUACUCAUGCUGCUCUUUCGGGAUACAUGGUCAGGGCUUCCAUCAAGAUCUCUUGUACCGGGGCUCCUGCUUGCUGACCUUCUGGGACUUUGGCUGCCAUUAGGACUCCUCCUUGGACUGAUACUCAUACUCUUACUCAUGGACUGGUUCGGGCUCAUGCUUUGGCUCCUGUUUACGAAUGUCGAAUGAAGUCUAAGUUCACCACGAAGGGGGAAGAAGAAAGGUUGAUUCAUGUGCAAGGAAAAACAAAAGACCUUGAUUUAUGGCCUUCUGAACCUGGUAGCUGAUCCAUAUCCCUGCCAGACGUUGGUUCGGUAAUGCCAUUGCUCUGGAGCUCUCCAUUUUCUCUUUGGGACUUGGCCUCUUCACCAACAGGCUUCUCAGGUAUAGUUCCCUCAUCAGGUAAAUCGGUAAUGAUUUCUCUCUCCACAGGCAGCAGUGACUGUUUUUCAUCUGAAAAAAUAAUAAUACGGUUAGCAGAGAAGAAUCUCAUUAUGUAAUAAAGAAAGUUCAAACUAUAUCAAAGUAGUGACUCAGAAUUAUUUCUAGGAACUGGGAGAAAGGUAACAUCUUCCAAGGCAGAAAGUCCCUAGAAUAAAAAAUAUUAACGUUGUGAUGCAUUACAUUCUCAAGUUAUUUUCUUCAUUAUUAAUGGCAUUAGCAAUAUUUUAAAAAUAGAUUAAUUAGAAGCACUGCCAAAAUUCUGAAGAAGAAAUUAGACAUACCAGAAACAUGAGAUGAGACCUUAGACUUUCGUACUCGUCGUUUGUGAUAUCCAUCAUCAUGAGAACUGCUACCAUCGGUACUCUCUGUUUCAGAUUCACUCUCCAUUAUCCUUGUAGCAGAGUAUAAAAGUAUUUAUUCAUUUGAUGAAUUAAGAGACAAACAAAAAUUUUGAAAUGCACUUUGAAAAGUCAGCCCAAAUGUGCAUGAAACAUAUAUCAACUUGUGGAACGGGUUAGAUAAAAACCUUCUGAGUUUGUGCCUUAAUUUCCUUUCACGCUUUCUGCGCCUUUUCUCCUGCCCUCUAUCCCUUUUCCUUUUGCCACGCUUGUACUUGUCUCGCUUAGAAUACUUCCUCCUCUUGUGUCGCCGGUCAUCACUUGAGCUGCUUACAUCAGACAUAGAUGAUGUGUCAGAGUCAGAAUCACUGUCAGUAUCUGAAGUUUCUGUUUCUGCAUCUGACGAGCUAUCCGAUUCUGAUGAAUAAUAUCUUUUUCUUUUCCACUUCCUUCUUCCUUUAGAAGACUUUUUAUGUCGUCCCCGCCGUCGACUAUCAUCAGAAGCAUCCUUAACUUGCUUUGAUUUGGAAUCUUUCUUCUUGUCUGAAUAUAUGAAAACCACAUUGUCAGUUGGACAACUAAAUAAAAAAAGGUAUAUACAGCAACCUGAUUAGCAGCCAGAAGGCAGAAAAGGGUGAACUUUUUAAUCUCAAAGUAAGUAGAAGCCUAUUAGAAAAACAAAUUUAUUUUCCUUAUGACACGUAGUACCAUUUUCAUGUACCACUGCUACAUUUUCGCAAAGCUCUCCACAGUUAACAAUCUUCACUAGAGCAACAGGUCUGUCACCAUCCACAUCAACAUUCUCUAUGUUCUUCAAGGUUUCAUGUCCUAGAAUGAGCUUCCCAAAAAUAACAUGCUUCCUGACAGAAGGGACAAUGACCUACAUAUUAGAACUGAAUCACAUGCUAUGACAUGAGCUGGCAAAUACUGCCAGCAUAACAAAAUGGGAUAGCAUAUGUUGAGAGGAACAUGUGCCUAGAAUAAUAUCUAAAUAAACAAUGCAGUUUGCUAUACAUAUACAAGCAAAUCAAAUGCAUGCAGAAGAGGAAACAAUUGUGAACAACCAGUGAUCUGUUUAACAUCUGUUGGUGAUUCACUUUGUUAUGUUCCAUGAAUCACAAGCUCAGUUGAAUUACAAGAUGCAAAUGUCCAUAUGCAUUUCCACAAAUACACAGUAUGAAGCAAAUUUUAUAACAAGAGCACCAUGCCGCUUGGGACAUCAGAGUCUGAUGCAUGAGAAUUGCAAGAUCUGAAAAUUUCCUCAUCUGUAUGAUUGAAGUAUCAAAAACAGUCAAAUAAGAAACCUCAAUAGACAAACUUGGAACUAACCCGUUGAGAUGAGGAGCGGAGUUGAAAGUGAUGAAAAACUGAGAGCCAUUAGCAUCGCGGCCAGCAUUUGCCAUUGACAGAAGACCACGACCAUCAUGGUUUAGCACAAAAUUUUCAUCUGGAAUAAAUUACAUGCACAUAAUGUACAGAGCAAUAUGAUAGAUGGUUUGGAUAAAGGAAAAACACUAACACCAAUAUACAUGCACAUAGCCAGAUUUUUAAUCAAAAAAGAGGUAGGCACCAAAUAUUCGAUAAACCAGAUGACCACAUUACCACCUCAAUCAUAUUGACUAAAUUAAAUGUAUGUCAAAUUCUCAUCCUAAUAAUUAGAUAAUUAAGUGUAAAUACAAAGGUUCACCAUACCGUAGCGUACCGCUCGGUAUGGGUGGUACAUACCAGUUCGACAAGAGACCGAUAUGGACAGGAUAUUAAUAUACCUCCAUGUAUCAUGUGUCGAUAUGCUCGAUACGUACCAUACCGAUAGCUAAUCAGUACAUCGAACAGACCGGUAAGACGAACCUUGGUAAAUACUUCUCCAAGAUAUUGAUUCCCUUCAAAGACAAAAUUCUUUUAUUUUUUAAAUUAUUAAUUAAUUGAAUUUUAUUUUAUUCCUAGUUUAUCUGCACAUAUUGGACAAUAGAUUUUAAUUGCUAGUUAAUUUACCAAUUAAGAUAAAGUUCUAUAAAAGAAAAUACUAGGGAAUUACGUUGUGACCUUUAAUCACACAACACUAACAAGAUUUAUAAUGAAACAAAUAGUUUUUUUCCUAGGGCAGCAUAUGUAGGUUUCACACAAUUAUAAAGAAAUGUCUCUUCAUGAUACUGAAGCUUAUUUACCUAAGGCAUUUAUAGCAAUCCUACUUAAUUCUAAAUUUACCUGAAAAUUUCCCACCAUAUAUGCUUUCACCACCGGUCCCUGAAAAAGGGAGGAUUUAUCAAUGAGCAAGAAAUUAAAUGAAACAGCAAGUUAAAGAUACUAAAGAAACUUCCAGUUUUCAGUUAUAUAUCCAAUGUCAAGAGUAAAAUAAAGAAGCAUGCAUGAGAAAUAAGCAGGGGCAAACUGGCAGAGUAUAAGUUAGGAAUGUAGGUACAACUCACAAGAUUCUCAAUUGGCAUAUGUUCAAAAGGAAAUGCUGUACCAAGACUUUCUAUCUGUACAUUCUAAACUAAUAAUGAGUCAAACAUUUCACCAUUUGCUUGUAUUGUGAAACUACUAUGAUAUCGUGACCUUCAGCAUCAUAUGCUAAUACUAAAUAGGUAUGAUGAUGUCUUAACAUAGCAAUUGCCACCACAUGACAUAAUACUCCAUAGAUGAUCAAAUAAAAUUUCCAUGAUGUGCACAAGUUAGCAAGUUGGCAAGAAAAAGAACAAAGAUUAUUGCUAGUGUUUGUACAUAUGCAACAUGCAUUUCUACACGUGUGCAAAUCAAUAGAACAUCUGGAGCUUAUGUAAGGAAUUAAUACACACAUUGCCAGACUCUCAAACUUCAAAGACCUUUCAUAUAUCUGGUAAUUAAACAGAGGCAAGUGUAUAUGAGGUAAUCAACUUAGGCAAGUGUAUAUGCUGUAUAACAACAAUAUACUACACUUGCAAAAAAAAAUCACAAAAUAAUAUAGUAAAAACAGGAUAAUGGAGAUGUAGAAAGCAUACCAUCACGUCUUGAAAAGUCACCACCCUGCCAAAAUAACAAUUACAUCAAGCACCAUUUUAGCAUAUAACACAAAUCAGAAAAGGUUGGGCUCAACAGGCUAAGAUAUAAAAAAAAAUGUUUUUAGGACACAACAAAAUACAACCUUAUAAACUAUAUGACAAGAAAAGCAGUCGUGACCAUCUGCCCUGUAUCCUACAGCUUAAACAAGCACAAACGACAAAGGGCAAAAGCUAUCACAUCUAAUUUAAAAAACAAGAAAAGCAAGGCAUACAGUCUCACGAUAAUGGAGGACUGCAAUGUAAAUAAAGAACAUACCUGUGCCAUAAAGCCCUUAAUAAUUCGAUGAAAGACCGAACCCUUGUAAUGCAGGGGCUUCUUAGUUGUAGGUCCAAUUCCCAUUUCACCUGUAAAGCUGAACUCAUCAGCGGUCCAUAAUUAAUGGAGUUGGUUCAAGUUCAACCAUCUUUCGAAUUAAGAAAUAAUCAUUUUUAGCUAACAAUCACCAAUCAUGUAAUAACAAGAAGAAAUGACUCUCCCAUUAGAAAAAAACAUGGAAAGACCUUUUUCUACAAAUAAUCUAUGCAUAUGCCACCAAUGACAAGGUAAUUACAAGAAACAACUCUGUCUUAACCAGCCAAUGUGAAAGUAUAUGACUUCUUCCACCACUAACAACUACUAUGACAGCUGAUUAAUCAAGGGUCUCUUGACCAAAUAUAUUAUCACAUGGUGUGAAGGCAUACCCACCUCAGCACAAAAUAAUGUCAGUAGCUCCCUUCCCAACAGAGCGAAAAUAUCAAAUAGAUGAAAAAAAGGGACUGUUGAAAACAGUGGCAGAAAACUUUUCCCAUUUAAAUAUCCAUGGAUACACAGCCUCAAACUUCAAUAGAAGAACCUAAUAAAAAGUAUCAAUGCAGCUUAACUACCAUGGACAUGCAGAAAAAAGGACAGAAACAUUGACAUCAAAUAGAGCAUCAUGUUACUUUCUUGGUUCUGUUUUUGUAGUGUACACACACACAUAUACAGUCAUAAUUGAACAACACAUCAUGACUCCAAAAAGCAAGAAACUGUUAUCCAUCCAUGUUGACGAACCAGCAGGAAAAAAACUUUGAAAGAUUUGCUGGUGUUGCACAUCAUGGAAGUUGCAACAGUGAAAUUCAAAGGUGGCAUGUCAAAAAGGUUCAAUGCCAUACAGGUAUGGCUUAUCAAUAAUGGGCUCUAUAACCUUUGUGUCCUCCAUAAAUGAGAAACCCUUCCCCUUGAGUUUUGCUUCUGCAGAUUUCAAGUCAUCACUACAUAGGUCAUAUAAACAAAAUCAAGAUCCAGAUCCACCGAAGAUAAUAUAAUUGUUAUCAACCAGUAUGGAAUCAAUGAGAUAUUAUACUUCACAAAAGGAACAACAAUCAUAAAAAUAAAAAUAAAUAUUUUUUAUCAUAUUUUAAUAUUUUCUGACAUUGUUAUGUUCUUAUAGUUUAAAUUACAUAUUUUAUGUGUAUAUAUAUAACUCUAUAAAUGUAUACAUAUAUGUAAAUAACUAUAUUCAAAUUAGUUUAUUGUAAACCACCAUAGCUUUAUUCCUUAUCGAUGAGAUAGAAACUUGUGGCAUCCAUACAUUGGCAGGCAAUGGGAGCAUCCAUGGUUUAUUAUGCCUCACCAGCUUGGACGCUGGCGUAUCCAUUGUGGGGCCAGAUGUUGUAACUGGUAUCUUUGUUUAACAGGGAACAUACAUUGAUAUAUCAUAUUAUAUUAAUAAUAUACAUAAUGUAAGUUUAUUGUAUGAGAUAAUACAAAUCUUGACAGCCCAAUUAUGAGAGCUUCAUAUUCAAAGCCCAAGAGCAGCACCAGGCAGCCAAGCAGAGUGAGGUGCAAUUGGUAAGACGCUAUUGAACAGUUAAGCUAGGAGGAAUUGGCAGUUGAACAGAAUGCUUUCAUCCCUUUCUCCCUUCAUCCACUCCUCCCCUACUCCGUCAGUCCAUCUCCUCUGAUUCUUUCUCUUCUUCUUUCCUUCCUUAUCUUUUAUCUUUUUUUUUCUUACAGCCAUACCAUGAUGGAAAUAGAUUCAAAAGAUUAACCAGCCAGAAUUUGCUUUGUUGUCAGAAUCAGCUGAUUCUGAUAAGUUUUGGCAAGUCUUUUAUUGAGUCCACCUGAUUUGAUAAAUACAUUGAGAAAAAGAAUUUUUCAUAGAAAGAAAAGGUCUAAUCCAAUCAAGGAAGCUGAUACAAAUUAGGAUUGGUCAAAAAUAAAAAAAUGCUCAGUUUACAAGGGUCCUCAUCCAAAGUUAGCAAUAUAUCUUCCACAAAUUGGUCACACACAUUAGGAGCUCCACUUAGUUGACCAAAAUUUUGAUGCCCUGACAUCAAUACACAAGAGCAAAUCACAUAGAUAUCAUGCACACAAAACAAUGUAUAAUAUUAUAAUAUUAAAUUAUUCCCAAAAAAUUCAUAUAUUUUAAAUGCUUCGGGCUAACUGCCGAAACUGAAAUUUUAAACCAUCUAUUUAAUUCUGAGACAGCAAAUCUGAUCCAGCUAACACCCAUUUGUUAAAACUCCUGAAUUCUCCACCCACCCUAAUAUUGAUGAUCAAUUUUGAAAUUCUCAACUCCAAGAGCCCCAAUAGAAAUCUUUAAUUAGUAAAACCCAUGAGAACUUCUAUACAUCACAAUGUCAGGCAAUCCUUUUUAAAAAUAUCAUAUGGAUUCUCUACAACAACAAGCAAAGACUACUACAAAAAUAAUGCUCACUUCGACUUGCACUACAUACUAUAAUAUAGAAUAUUAAGUCCAGAUAAUUAGUGCCCCCCAACAGAACUGCAUGCAUGCUGCAAUUAGUCUGAUUUGUGAUGCCAAUAUAGAUGGCCUUAAACAAAUGUUAUAUGGUAAAAUAAUGCUUCUUGUGAAACCUAUCUAAUUUUUGGCAAUUCUGGUAUUCAAACUACAUCUUGUAAAUAUAUACCUAGUACUACCUGAAUUCUCAAAACAAUCAUUUAAAAGAGUACCUGGUGUCCUUGAACUCUUAAUACCAUUUUUUUUUUCCAUCAUUGGCCUCUGGAUGAUGGAUAAGAUGGAAAUUGGCUUCAGUGCAUUAGUCUGAUAAUUUUUGUAUACAGAAAGAAAAACAAAAAAAAACAAGAGAUGAUAUCUACUUCUUUCACUAUAAUGUCACCUUCCACACACAUUUGCAAAAUUAUAUUGAGAAAAAGUGACCUUUUGAUAUUAAGUUUGAGAUGCUGGCAAGCCACUCCAUUAGGUGGUUUUUGUAAUAGCAAGCAUGUAUUUCUUAUAAGAUAAAGGCCUUGUAGAUAACAAAAAAACAAUGUCUUCACGUCUCCUUCCUAAUGUGCACAAAUAAAACCCACAUUGAGGUACAAAUGUUCAUGAGUUCCGACAAAUCCGGAUCCAUCAUAGAUGCCAAGCAAAAGAUGCAUGCUAUUUCAUUAGUUAGUAUCUUUUAUGAAGGUAAUUAAGAAUUUCCUACAGAAUUUAUGUCAAGAUUUAACACACAACAAAAAACCUGCAUCUAAAGAUUCUUAUGUUGCCUACCACAGAUGCCAAAGCUCUACCAUUUUUUAGUAAACCCCAUUUUAAAGGAACAAGGUUUUUAAGAUAGUGAUCAAGUUCCAAGCAGUUGUACAGUUUAGGAUUAGGAUCUUUAAUUGAGCAGGAUCAGAUUGUGGGGACCAUAUUUUUUGAAUGAGCUGUAGACCAUGUGACAUUGACCAAAAUCAACCAGAAUGCACAAGGUAGACCAAAGUAGGCCUAGCGAGAAACUAGGCUAGAUCAUAAGUAAUUGACAGGUUAAAAACAUCACCAAAUAGGAACCUCAAUCAAGAAUUAGCCAUAUCAACUUAACAUCUGCUAAAUAUAUUGAUUUCCAGUAUAAGUGAUAAUCACAAAAAAAAAAAUCAAGGGUUUCGGAAUAAAAAAUGGGGUUUUGGCAAAUCCCAUAAGCUUAAACCACACAUCACAUCAUACGCAUUUCGCAGUGGUGCAUGCAUGUUAAAAGACCAUUGGUUUCACAUUUUUGAACUCUUAUCCACUUCAAGACAACUCAAGAUUUGCUAUGUGUAUGCCCGAAUGUUAUGUGUCAAAGUGUCAAGCGUAAAGAUAGUGACAUGAUUCGGAGAGGAAAUCAAAUCAUGAGAAGCAUGACACAUUGCACAACCAUACCAACAAGCCCAUAAGUACUUAGCAUCAAACAAAAGGAUCUCCAAUGUCAAGUGAGCUUUGAAAUGAGGAUGAAUAGGAACAAAACGGAGGAUGCAGUGAAGGAACAUAAAAAGUGAUGCAAUAGAAUAUCAAGCGUCAUAGGUAAGGUCCAAACGUCAACUAAACAAAACCCAAGUGCACCGAGGAUAGAAGAGCUUUCAAGAGCAAUAGCCUUUAUACAUGAAAGGUCCGUCACUAAAAUGACACCCAGAAUCCUUAUAAAGAAGGAACAAAAGAAUUACAUAGUGUCUUAUCUAAUCCAAAAACAAAGAAGAGCGAAUACAUGAGCAACCAUUACAAAAAGCAAGAUGGAUUAAGUUACAAGAUCUUAGAGGAUCUAGUUACCUGUGCAGAGUGCUCGAAAAUUUUCAGCAGUCUUGGGAACGAUAUCAGCAAAAAGCUGCAAAAAUGUAAUUUUUCAGCACUUUAACAAUAUAUGCCAAAAUGAUGAAAAAGGCAGAUGAGUUGUAUGAAGGAAUGUGAAGCUCAACAAAAUGUCAUGUAGUAACUGUAUAAUUAGAUCGAAUACCUCAAACACCAUCCGUCCUGCAGCUUUCCCAUCAAUUGCUACAUCAAGGAAGACAAUAGGAUUAUUCUUUUUUGCCAUUUUUUCCAGCUGGACUAUUCAAGGACCCAACAGAAGAGAAACUUCGCCUGCAUCAUUUCAGAAGGCAAAUUAGAAUUUCUUCUACUAACAUGUAAACAGAAAGAAAAUGAUUUAACCAAAAAAUCUAAACGGAAAGAAUUGAGAUAUAAUUAUAAGCUACAGGAACAGUACAACUUCUGGUCUAGCCUAGCAGAUAUCCAUAGUACAAAAGUCCGAUGCCACAGUAUCAAUGGAUCAUCAGAUAGAACAACGAUGACAAACGCUUCCACAGAGCCACAACAGGAUCUUAUCAACAUCGAUUUGUAGUCCAAUCAAAUAUAGAUGAGAGAAAAACAGGACGCGAAGCCAGGCAACAAAUCCACAAAUCAACUCCAAGAAAUGUAAAGGCCAAGAUGCAAAAGGAAAACAACCAAUUCAGACAGAUAGAGACGCAACAUAUAAUGCGCGAAUCUAAGACCUCCAACAAAAUCAUGAGGCGCCCUUGAAACCCUAAACCCUAUCUGAGCUGCAAAAAAAACCCUAGCGCGAAAACAAAGAGCAACGCAAUUUUAGAAAGAAAACCCACAGAGAAUCAAAAAAUCAGCAUGACAUGCAAACUAAAACAGAUACCCAUUCCAACCUAAAAGAAAAGGAUAAAGAACACGGCAACAAGACGGCGACCCACCAAAAGGGAAAGACUAAGACGCAAACGAGAAACGACUGGUACCAUAUUCAAACAAUAAGAAAGAGAUGAUACCGAUUUGACGACCUGAAAACCCAAAUUUCUUCCCUGUGGCGUGAAGCAGAGGGAAUCUGAGAGCAGCCGGUGCAGCACCGCCAAGGACUGAUGAGAGGCGACCGUAACCUAAAAGGCUUCGCGAGACGACAUCCGCUUUAUUUCUUCAGCAAAUUCCAGAUUACUAUAACACCCCGACUUUGAUGAUUUAUUUACAAAAAGGUCGCACCCGCCCGUGGUCUUGCUCACUCAGCUCACGUGCGCAUCAUAGUCCUUCCUGUCAUGGUAAGGAAGGGACCGCGCCUUAUUAUUUGGCUCGAAAUUGAUCUCGAUCGGAGCUUGAGUUGAGUCGGACUCAAUCGGAUUAGAUCGAACCUAAUCGAUCAUAUGUAAACACGUAAACAUUGCUUAUUUCUUAAACCAAGAGCAAAAUACCAUAAUACUCCUUUGUGGGGUGAUUUAUUCACUGGAGAGUCUCGCCUGCUUUAGUCACGUGCGGCACUUAUUUCGGUCAUGUUAGUUUCGAUGUUUGGAGGGGACUAUCGAAAUCUGUAUUAACAAUAAUAAAUUAAGUUUGACCCUUCUUAAGCAUAAAAAAUAUAUAUAUGGACAAUUUUAUUUGGUCCAUUUAUAUCGUUAUUGCAAAAUUGUGAUUCUCUUAAUUGAUCCGUAUGUAACUUCUUGAUAGAAAAAUAUAAGUUGCUUGAUCCUAUUAAGCAAAAACUAUAUCAGAUCCUAUUAAGAUAGUGUAUACCAUCGUCAAAUUUAAUAUAAUAAUUUAUAUUACAUAAUGACUUUUUGUUGUCUUGAUAUAAUAAUUUAUAAUAUAAUCUCUUUUGAUUUUCAAUAUAGUCCGUACAUUUUUCACUACAUGAUUUUACAUUUUUUAGUUAUUUGUUUACAUCAAAAUGCUUGAUAUGAAAGAAAAAAUAAUGUGAAAAAAAUGGUAAUAAUGAGCUAGAGAUGGAGCAGCAAAUAAAAAAAAUAAAAUUUGACUAUCACAUAUCAACCAUUUGUUUAGUUAAAUGGUCGAAUCGUCGAUCAUGCUUUAUCAUAUUUUAACUUAUGUUUUUGUCGUAUCAUUUUCUCUUAUCAAAUUCUUUCUCAUUUCAAUGUAGCUAAGUUAUAGAGCCAUCGACUCCUAAAGCAUGUCGAUAAUGAUCAUUCAUAUGAAUUAUUAGUUAUAGGUUACAGGGAUAUCCAGUCGGGUAACAACACAUAAUAGAUCCUAUGAGGCGUUUGUUUAGGCUACGAUGUCAGUAGAGCUUCUUAUAUCGAUCAAGAUUCUCUUUACUAGUGCAUUGAUUAUUUUAAGUGACACAACGAGAGUAUCAUCAUGGUCCAAAUAUAAUUGCUUGACUUCCUCUUUUUUAAACACGAUUGAGGGGUCUCCGCAAAACCUCUUAACAUAAAGUUCUUGUGCAUAGCUUUUAUGAGAGGAUGAAUUGCCACCUCCCAAUGCAAGCUUACAAACAAUUAUAUCCACUUGGUGCUCCAUGGGCUCACACGAUGGAGAUGUCUCAUGAACCAUAGCGAUUGAGAUGUCCUCUUUGAAUGAGCUCUUAUAUUUAUAGCUUUAAGUUGUGGCAAUCAUUUAUGUUAUGCGCAUGGUCUUAAUGGAAGUGAUAGAACUUUACAUAGUUCCAUCUGGUGGGAGGAAUUUGAAGAGGAUGGGGUGCGCGAAGUAAGUCUUUUUCAUAAUUUGCAUAAAUAUCUCAAUAUGGGAAGCGUUCAAAUGAGUGAACUCAUUGUAAGGGGGUGGGAGGUCGGCCACCAUGAGACAUGUCGUUGUGGGGUUACUCUGAGUUACUCAAUUACGAGUUUAUUUCCUCCUUAGUCUCCUUUAUGGGCUUAAUAAUUUUCUUCCUAGCAACUAUUGACUUUGCCACUAUAUGUCGAUUGGCUCUACCAUUAUAUGUUGAUUGGUCUCUUGCAGCAACUCAAGAAAAGUGACAGGAGGUCAUGUGAUGAUUGAAUAAAAAAAUCUCAAUGGCUGAAGGCCAUUAUUGUAUGCAUUGAUUAAGAUGGAUGAACUUUAAUCCUUAAAAUGCUUGAUGUAGCAAGCUAGGGACUACUUGUCCAUCUACCUUAUAGUUAAUAAAGAGAUGGUCGAUAUUUUCAAGAACUUAUAAUUGAUAAAGCUGAGUUCAAACUCUUUAGCCAAUUAUCUAAAAGAGGCAAUUGACUCAAUGGGGAGUUUAACAAACAAUUCCCUUGUCACCCCUUUAAGAGUUGUUGGAAAUAUACAGAGAGGGUUUGUGGUCUCGAAUAUCAUAUACGAGACAAAAGCAACUAUGUGCUUGGUGGGAUUGAAGCUCCCUUCAAAUAAUUUUAACGUAUUUGCCUUGAAUCCUUGCAAAAUUAGCUCCUCCACAAUGCUCUUGAUAAAAUAGGACCUUAGAUAGAGAUCGAUUUCAUGUGCACUCCACCUGAUUGUAACAUACACUAUACCAGGCUAGGCCAACGCAUAGCCCGUGGAUUAGUCAUGUGCAUUACACGACUACUUAUAUUGGGUUGGGUCGAGCUAACAUGCAGGUUGGAGCUUGACCUAUGAGUUAGGUUUGGGCUCCUAGUUGGGCCUAUGCUUAUUGUACGAGCCUAGUUUGUAGGCUAUGGCUUACGCAAUGGGGCUGGGCCUAGCUUGUUGGAUGAUAUAAAUCCAAAUCUUAACCAAUUCAUUUAAUUCUGAAUUAUCUCAUCAUGAACUUAUAAUCAAGCAUCUAAUCAUUAACAAUAUACUAUUAAAACAUAAUAAAUAGUAAUAGAAUAAAAUGAUAAAAAUUACAUAGAGAGAGAAAAUAAUAUUUUUAAUCAACUAUUAUAUAAAUCUAAUGAAAACCAUAUAUUAUAACUAGCAUCAAAGAUAAAAAUUUUAAAAACUACAUAUAGCAUGAAUACUUAUAAUAUUUUUUUAAUCCUAAAAAUAUAAUUUUAAUUAUAACAACAUUUAGAAACUGCAUAUAACAUGAAUAAUUGUAACACAUUUUAAUCCAAAAAUAAAAUCUUAGACAUUUAAAGAAAAUUAAAUAAUUUAAAAAUUACAUAUAACAUGAAUAAUUAUAACAUAUUUCGAUACAAAUGAAAAAUUAUAGACACUUAAAGAAAUAUUAAAAAAGGGUAAGAACCUGCCUUAUGAUGCUCAUUUUUUGUUAUUAUUGCUGCUAAAAUUGGUUUUAUGAUAAAAGAUUGAGAUGGAUCUCUCCCUUAAAUAGGAGCACGUGAGACCUCAAUAUAACUUUUUUAAAAAAAAUAGUUUUUAAUAGUUUUUAUUUUAUUUACUAACAAAAAUAACAUCACUACUAUGUUGAAUAAUUAUUUUUAAAAUUUUAUUAGCAAGAAAUGAAAAAUAUACCUAAAAUAGGGAUUUGAUUAUAUUUUUCCAUGUGAUAUUCGAAGAUCCACUUAUUUAAGAAUAAUAACCUUCAUAAGUGAAAUUUAAAGAAUUGGUGAUAAGUUAUAACACUAUUAUUAUUAUUAACAUAUAGAAACCAUCGACUCGUGAGUCGGCUUGGUUAGUUCAUUGUCGAAUAUGUAGGUCCUUUCUGAUGACUCCUCUUUGCUGAUGCAGAGAGCUGGCAUGGUGAGUUGGUGUGGAGAGCUAGAUUAUCUUUGUUGUUGGGCCGCCUCUUAGUUGUGUCUCUAGAUGGUUCCGGGGGUCCUGCAUAAUAGGUCUGCAUUGGGGGCGUCUCAGUUAGACUCCUCUAAUGCUUAAGUUAGAGAGACGGAAAGAGAGGUUAAGAAUGUAAGUGAGAGAGUAAAGUACUCUUGUCCGCUUACCCCAGCGUAGUCCACGUAAGUGUUGCUUAUGUGGUGAGGGGUGCUGGGGAGUGCUAGGAUUAUCCCUAUAAUUCAUCCCUCCGGAAAGGCGUUCUUUGGAGUUUCGAAUGAAGAUCUCAAAAGACGUUACUUUUUCUACAUUCUUGCAUGGUGAUGUCAUCAUUAUAUAGCUUUGGGUUCGUUGCUCGCACCGUGGUGGUUGGUGCGAGGCUCGUUUGGGGUGGGUUGUGCUUUCUUGUUGAGGCAAUCUUUGCUUAGACAAGUGUUGACCUAAGAGACCUCUCUCUUUUUUUCUCUCUUUAUCUUCAUUCUCUCCCUUCCGCACGAGAUGUCAUUCUCUCACAUUUUUUGAGUUCCCCCUUUCUGCAUCAUGAGGUUUCCUUCUUCAGUUUUGAUCUCUCCAUUUUGCACAAGAGGUUGGGUCAUCUUUUGGGCCUACCCCUUCUUCCACUUAUGGGGAUAGGUACUCGACCACUUAGGCGGGAGUGUAGGCCCACAAUAGCAGGUGUUCGCUCGACCACAUGAGUGGGAGGAUCAGUAUCAGACCACUAUAGCGGCUUUCGCUAUAAUGGGUCUUGAUUCGAUUAUCGUAGGCAGGAGUAUCGAUAUCAAUCUAUCAUAGUGGGUCUUAAUUCGAUCGAUGUGGGCAAGAGUAUUGGUAAUAGUCUACUGUAGUGGGUCUUGAUUCGACCAUCGUGAGCAAGAGUAUCGGUAUCAGUUCGCUAUAGCGAGUCUUGAUUCGAUCAUCGUGGCUAAGACUAUCGGUAUCAGUCCUUCGUAGCGGCUUCCACCAUAGUGAGUUUUGAUUCAACCAUCAUGAGCGGGAGGAUAGGCCCACUAUGGUGGGUUUUGGCUCGACCGCGUAAGCAGGAAGAUGGACCCACUAUGGUGCCUGGCUAGUGCCUGUGGUUGAUACUAUAACAGGUGGUGUUAUUGCUAUCGGGGUGCUUUGCCCAUUGUGCACGUCGGGUUAUGACACACCUUCUCGUCCUUAGGAUUUGUAUCGCCUAUGAUUUUUAAUUAUGGAGAGGAUCUUCUGCUGCUCUAAGGCUUGAUCUACUUAGGGAGCCACACCCCUUUUUGAGGCUCUACUGUCAUGCAAUGAUUGGAGGUUCGAUAUUCAUGGCGGGCAUUUCUUGUGCUAGAUUUCACAUUGUCCCUAGAUGAAUUUGUAUGAGCGUUGCCUUGUGGAAGAUGAGCUACUUUUGACGUCCGCUAAGCUUAUUCUGAGGUAUUUAUAUGGCAGGAUUUCGUCUUGGUAUCAUCAGCUUUCAGAGCUUUGUUUUGUCGCUAUCCGUCAAGACUCUCCACACCUUCUUUGUUGGUUGAUAUAGAUCCUUAUAGUCUGUAGGAGGGUGUCCCUCCAUUCUUGGAAGUGUUGAGCUCGUGAUAGGUGGUUCUAAGAACCCUGGUGAGGGUUGAUCCAAAGCCAUAUGUGGAAUCUUUCACCAGACCAACCUUGCUACCAGGGAUCGACUCUUUCGUAGGUGGGGAUAUUCCAUCGUGCGUCCAUCAAAGGCCCAAGCAUGCUAUGAAAAGUGUUCCGAGACUGGGGGGCCCUUCUUUGUUAGAGGAGGGCAUGGAGAGUUAUACCUUCCCGGUGGAGGUAGGGUAGGAACUCCUAACACAUCGUGGCUCGUUGUGAUGAUUGGGAUCCGGGCCCUUCUACCAACUGUGUUUCUACCCCCUUGGGGAUUACAUGGCCUUUAAGAUGACCAACCGUCCUCCAACGACCCCCGGGGCUCCCCUCCAAGCUAAGUGGGAGGGGUUGACACAAGACGCGAGGCUAUGGAAAGGCAGCGCAACCGUAAGCAAGUAUUACUGCGGGUUGCUUAUCUCAAUUUUGGGCAAGCUAAUAUACCAGGCCUCCACAAAGUCUCUGGUCGAUCAGUGCUACUACAACGAGGUCUUAGCAAGGGCCCAGGUUUCCUAGUCCUAUUGUCUUCUCGAAAUUGAUUUUGUUUUUCUAGGCAGCACCAUUACUACGUCAUAGGCCUAGUCGAUUGUGCGCACAAUGCGAGGAUGUUGAUGAGCCAGUUAUCCCAUGCGAACGCAAGCCUCGUGGUGAGGGUGGUAGAGUUGGAGAGGGGCCCUGCGACUAUUGAGGCCUAAGCCAUGAAGAUAAUCGUCAUGUUGGAACAAGCCCAACAACAAUUGGAAGAGUCCAAGUGGUGCCUAAUGAAGGCUGAGCGAUGCUUGGGAGGCCCGUGUUGUCGCCUGGAGGAGGCCCUAGAGCGGGGUCGCCAAUUGGAGGGCUAGUGCAAAUUAGCUCUAAUGAGUUGAUGGCCUUCAGAAUGGGGGCUCAUGAGGCGAUCACCACAUACAAGGAGUCGAAGGGAUUCCGUCGGGGGCUACGAAGGGCGAAGAGGGACUCCUACUAUUAUAGGUACCAUGUAGUCCUUCGGCACUUCCAGACUUGGUAUCCUGUGUUGGCCAUGGAGGAGGACCACUUUGCGCAGCGGGUUGAGGAUAUGGAAGGGUCUUGGGGGUGGAUCUCCUUUGACGAUGGCUCCAGCUUUGGCUUUUCUUCCUCCUCCAGUUGAUACUUUUGUUUUCUUUUUUAUAUGGAAUCUUUGGCCCAGAUUGCAGGCUUAUUUUUGUGCAGUAAUGAAAUUUAUUAGCCUUUUCCUUUUUGGCUUUAUGUGUAUAUUCUUUUGUCCUAGUGAUGUUUUGGGGGAGUAGCCCUGUUCUCUCCCACUGAUCGUCUGUUCGGAAAUGUCUUCUCCUGGGCGACUCCGAGGUUAGGACCCGAGGUUUAUGGUGCGCCCUCCUGCUAGCCUAUUCCCCGUGUAUUGAGACCAUGACUUUGGCUGAUGUGUACUGAUUAGCCCUUUGGAGGAUCUCUGAGAUGAUCCCUCAUACAGGGGCUCGUCUUCCCUUUGUCUCUACCCAAGCAAGACAACAACCAAGGGCUUUGGUCACAUGUUGGUGAGGAAAUGAGGCUCUAACUCUUUGACAAGCUAUAUAAAAAAGAAAAAUUAAAAUGAGCUUAAGGCGACUAUACCAUUCCUGGCUGACCCCCUCAAUGUCGUUGGGAACGCUCGACACAUUAGAGUCUCUAAAGUGCCAAACAGAGACAUCUAGGCCCGGAACGUGGUGGUGUGCUCUGCGGGGUUAGAGCUGCCAUUAAAGGUUUCUAGAUUGAGGAGGCGAAAGUUGGCUGGGUUGGGCUCCUCUUGGAUGCUUUAAAUAAAGGGGAAAAUGUGGGGUGUAUCAGGUUCACCGUGGGAAUGCUAGAACUCCCACCGAACCUCGUGUAGUCAUUGAUUCAUGGCUUGGAGUUGCGCCUUCAUCGAGUCUUCCCAAGAGACAAUCGAUUGGGCCUCGAAUUUCGGUAGGAUUUGAGUGCGGCUCGAUAGAACACCCUUGAUCGAGGAUAUCCUUGGGGGGUCGAGCGAGGACUUAUCAGAUGAGCUUCGAGGAGAGUAUGCAUGAUUAGUGGCUGAAGGGUGAGCCGUUGCAUUGGGGUUGUCAGUUGUGCCAAUUGGGGGAUGAGUGAGGCGAUGGCUUGCAUCAUGCCGGCGAGGGCCUUGACCUGUUAAGUGAGGCAUAGGAAUGCCUUUGAUGGGACAAGCAAGAAGCCUAUACUCAGCCUUGGGGGAAAGUCCUAGGUCAUUAAGCAAGCGCCAAUAGUGACCCGAUGUCUGGGUUGAGGUAGAGAUGUCGUUCCAUUGGAAGGGAGGUGUGUGCCUUCUUUGCUCGAAGGGGCUAGGCGCUAUGAGUAGUGCCCCCUCUUUGGAGCGCUUGUUGGAAGGAUUGGUAGAAGGAUAUUCCUGUGACAUUCGACCCUCCUUUUAGUGUCAAAAUAUUAAUACAUAAAGACAAUCGACUUGUGAAUCAACCUGAUUGAUUCACUACAAAAGAUACAGGUCCUUUUUGAUAACUCCUCCUUUUUAAUGCAGAGAGUUGGUGUGGCGAGUUAGUGUGGAGAGCUGGGUCAUCUUUACUACUGGGCCUCCUCCUAGCUGUGUCUUCGAAUGGCACUAGGGGCAUCCCGACUCAAUCCCUCCGAUGCUUAAGUCAGAGAGAUAGAGAGGAAAUUUAACAAUAUAAGUGAAAGAGUAAAGAGCUCUUGCCCACUUGCCCCAACUUGGUUCAGGGCUUGGUUUUCAUACCUGGGCGUUGAGCGGCCUAGACGUGUGUACGCCAAGGCCCCCCUUACCCUGUACGAUAAAGACAUUAAUGAGGGCAACUUGCAGGCGUGUGGCUCUAGUGCUUGGGGCAAAUCAUUGGGGGGGACGUUUCUGGGCUGACUUCCUUACCGCUUUGGGUUAGACAGGGAGUGAUCCCUUUAUUAGUCAUCAGGAAUAGAAGGAUUGUGAAGUAGGGCAAUGCUCUCGAUCAUUAAUGUGGAGGCAUAAUUUUUGCUGAUAUAUCAGUCAGGAAUGAAUUGUGUGGGCUCAUUUGUGAAAGCCAGGGCAGGCAACAUGACCUUAUGCUAGCGACCAUAGAGAAUAGGUGGU